RNAcentral lists this long non-coding RNA (53196 nucleotides) under Manihot esculenta (cassava). RNAcentral describes it as "long non-coding RNA (MESC_LNC005844)". The record is from RNAcentral. Lineage: Eukaryota; Viridiplantae; Streptophyta; Magnoliopsida; Malpighiales; Euphorbiaceae.
UACUUAUAUAAAGGCCAACAUCCUCUUCUUUCUUUACCAUCAAACCCAGCAAGAGACUCUCUCUCUCUCUCUCUCUCUCUCUCUCUCUCUACUUGUUCUACAAUUCUAAUUAAGCAGCAGAAUACUUAUUCUAUUCUACCAUUUCCAUUAUCAUCCUUCUCUCUGCUUCUCCUUCAAACUAUCAAAAGAGAAGAUGAAGCAAGAAAACACAAGCUUCUGUAACAGGCAUGUUAGAGAUCCGUGCAGAUCAUUCGGCCAGAAAUGCAGUAGACUAGUGAAAGAACAGAGGGCGAAGUUCUACAUUCUCCGGCGGUGUAUCGUUAUGUUAAUUUGUUGGAAUGAAUACGGUGACUCUUAAAUAUAUAUAUAUAUAUAGACAUAUAUGACCUCGAUCUUCAGCUUUGAUAUAUACUUUUUUUUUUUUUCUCUUUUCUUAGCCAUACCCAAUAUGAGUGUUUGUGUAUAUAUUACUAUACACAUAUGAUGAUGAGACAGAGAGCAGGAAUCUUUUUGGAUUUUUCUUUUCUUUCCUUUUCCUAGAAAGUUUAGUUAAUUGUAUCUUGUUUUUUUUUUCUUCCCUACCAGAAAAGGGUGGAGAAGAUUGUAGCAUGAUUAUAUAUUCAAAACAGUUUCUUGCCUCAUAGAUCUACUGAUUCAUUUUACUUGAUUUUUUUCCUAUUAUUAUUAUUUAUUUAAAUGGGAAAAGAGAAAACCCCAUUUUGCUUUUUGUUAUUUUUCAAUUAUUUUAAAUUAAAUUAAUUACCCUUUCUCUCAAAGAGAUGACAUUUGAAAGUGAUGAAUAAUUUAGUGAAGGCCUGGAAAAAUUUAUUGGAUGUUUAUAAGAAACUAUACAUACAAUUUGGAGAAAUAUAUAAUAAUUAAACAUUUAUUUAUUUUCACUGCUUUUAGAGAUAGGAUAUGGUUGGCUACAGGUUUAUGCUUUGUACUUUGAUUUGACAUAUUAGACUAAUUUAAUUAUUUUCACAUUAUUAAAUUUAUAUUAUAUUUUUUUGUGGUUUCAUUUUCUUUUGUUUUCUUAUCUAUAAAAUUAUUAUUUUUCACAUAAUAUAUAUAUAAUAAUAAUUAAUUUGAUAUUUCUGAUCGAGACAUUUAUGAGUGGUUAACUGAGUGAAAAUUUUGCACUUGGAAGUAAGAACUAUUCAUGCUAUUCUACAUGAAUAUAUUCAUAAGUUUACUCUUUGAUUUUUUUCAAAUUUUAUUAAUAUAGGGAAAUGUUAUAAUUAUUAUUUUUUUAAAAAAAUCAUCCCAAUAUAAUUCAUCAUAAUAAAAUAAAAUUUUAAUACUGACAAAUUUUAUAUAUAUAUUAAACGUCACUCGUUUUGAUUAAUUCUUUUUGAUUAAUUCUUUUUGAUAGACAUUUCAUGCGGUGAUAAUUGACGCAUAUAAUAAUAUUGAUUUGAAAUAAAUAUAUAAAUGAUUUAUUAUUAUUAAAAUUUUAAUUAAUUUUAAAUAUAUUAAAAAAUAUUUUAUCAGUAAUAAAUUAUUUCAAAAUUUAUAUAAAAAAUUUUUCAUUUUAAUCUAAUCAUUUUGAUUUAGUUAUUUAUAUAUAUAAAAGAAAAAGACCUUUCAUAUGAAAGUCUUUUAAUAAUAAGCAGUUAUUUUUAUUUAAUUUUACUAUUUAAAAUUUAGAAUAUAUAUAUUAUCAUCAAGUGAAAUGGUAACCAUAGUUUGCGGGGAUACAAAGCAAAAGAUUACAGUGGUUAAAAGUAAGUAAAAGAGAUAGAAAGUGCUAAUGUAAGCCGACAGAGAGAAUCCAUAGAACAGAGUGAUAUCGUACGCACCCUCUCACCAGCACGGAGAAGCGAGCACUCUCCUCUCAUAGCUCGCUUUCACAAUUUCACUUAGUUCCGUUUUAGAUUUGCCCCCACGUGCGGUGAGCCUAACUUUUUCAACGUUCUAACUCUGGGGCCCACCUUCUUUCUUUCUCUUUUUGGUACUAUUCCUUUUUCUUUCUAAUUUAUUUUAAUUUUAAAUCAUUCUACUCCACAUUUCCAUUUGAAUUUUUUUUAUACGUUUCUAUUUUUAGUAAAACAAGGAUAGAAUAUUUGAUUGAGAUAAUUACAAUUAAGUCCUUAUUUUAUGAGACCUUUUAUAAGUACAAUUUUAAUGUGAAAUAUAUUUUUAUAAAAAAAAUUUAAAUAAAUUCUUGUAAAAUUAUAAAUCAGAGAAAAUGCAAAAAUUGAUUGAAAUUAUAUGCGAAUUUAAGGAUUAUUUAAGGGAAAAAAUAAAAAAACAAAGAAAAUAGAGAGAGAGCAACUGGUAAGAAACUCACCUGUGAUCCUCCAAAAGAAAGAAAUUGAGGAAAAGUAAGAGGCAAGAUGAGAAAAAAAAAAAAAAAGGAAAAUGAAAAGGAAAGAGAGAAUAUAACUACAAAAUAAAGAAUAUUGUUACAAUAUAUACAAUUAAUUUCAAUUGAUUUGUAUAUAUUUUAUAAUUAAUUUAUGGAUUAUAUUGAAUUAAUAAAAUUAUUAAUAGUUGAUUAAUAAAUAUUUAAUAUUUACUUUAAAACUAAUUUAAAUACUUAGAUCUUUCCAUAUAAAAAAAAAAAGAACUUUAGAUUAUUUAACUAUAUAAUUUAUAUAGAUAGAUUACAAAGAUAAAUUUAUGUAUCAGUAUACCAAAGUAAGAUUUCUAAGAAAUUGAAAUACAAUAUUUAAUAUAUUAACAAAAAGAAUGUGAAUGAUUAAAUUGAUGUAUCAAUAUAGUUCUUAACAUUUAUCAAAAUUGACAAUUUAGUCAUAAUUUUUUUUAAUGAUAAAUAAUUUAAUUCUUCAGCUUUUAUUUUAUUAGCAAGAUAGUUUUUGUAUUAAAUUUAAAAAAAAAUACUACUUGAUCCUUAUAAUAUAGAAAAACUUACUAGUGUCUAUUGAUUUUAAAAAAUAUAUUAAAAUGUUCUUGACGUUUUAAAAAGCAUACUAGUUAGUCCAUAUAUUAAUUUUAAUUAUUAAAUAUUUAUGAAAAUACUAAUUAGUAGACUUUUAAAGUGUCAUAUAUAUUUUAAUGUAUUUUUCAAAAUCGAUAAAUCAAAUAGUGAGUUUUUCCAUACUAUAAAAACUAAAUAGUAUUUUUUUUUUAAAUUUACGGUUAGUUAAUUAUAAAUAAAUGAAGUCAAAAUUGUUGUAAAUAUUAAAAUUAUAAAAAUUAAAUAAUUAAUUAUUAAAUUUAAUGGAACUAAACUUUUAUAAAAAGUGGAAUUUAUGAAAAUAAAUUGUUAAAAAAAAAAAGAAAACUCUAAAUAAUGAAUUUAUAGCUCGUGAUAUCUUAUUUUGAAUAUACUUGAAAAAAAGGACUAGACUAUGUAAUCAUAAAAUUAAAAAAAAGUACUUAUCUAAAAUUUAUAAUUUUUUUUACUCUCAUUUCUAAAUAUCCUACUUAGGUAGAAGUGGAUGAAAUCCUUUUUUAGUGGGUUCUACUGCAGAAAAAUCUAAUUUUUUUCACCGUCAUUCCUAAAUAUCCUAACUGGAUAGAAGUGGAUGAAGAAGUGAUCGUAAUGAGAAUCAAAAGGGUGGAGAAUAAGAGAGAAAAGAUUAAUCUAAUAGUGACUUUUAACCUAAAGAUUAUUUUAUUAAGAGAAUGAAAUCUUAAAUUAUUUCUCAUUAAUUUGAUAAGAUUUUUUUUAAAAAAAUGGGAAUUGAAGAUUGGGAGGAGUAGAAUCAAGAUCUAUCUGAUUUACUCAGAUGCACUUACCAGAUUAAAUCUGUGAGUGCAAAAUGAUAAAAAUUAAGUUAUGUAUUUUAUUAAAUUUUACAAAUUAUAUUAUAAAUUACUUUAGAUAAAAUUAGGAAUGAUAUACUUGUCACAUAUAUUGAUGACAAAAUUACCAAAAAAAGAUUCAUCUAUUUAAGAUGGUGUGUUUAUGUUCUAAGGUAAAAUUAUAAAUAUUUUCAAAUAUAAGUGUGAUAACAUAAAAUAAUGAGAAAAAAAGAAGAGAGAUUAUAAAAUGAUAUAAAGUGAAGGAUUAAAUGAGUAUUUGCAAGUCUUUUAUGGGUUUUAUUUUUCUAUUUUGUGAGGUUUUACUUUUUCUCUCUUUAGCAUGAAGGCACAAUUAAGGAUGAUAAUGGAGAGUUUUGACGGAUAUUCAAUCUUUCCAAAUUUUAUUGGGAUGAAUUUGGAUAGGUUCAGUUGGUAAAUGUUUACUCAUUUAGAAUAACUAUAUAUCUUUUUAAUUUGUUAAUUAUAUAUUCAAAUAUAAAAUAUUAUAUCAAUAACAAAAAUUAUUUAAUGAUAUUUUAAUAAUUAAAUAAUUAUUGAUCAAUUAACAUUAAUAAAUGAAAAUUUUUAAUUCUAGAUAAAAAAAUUAAAAUUAUUAUCUUACCACAUUAUAUUUACAGAGUUCAAAACAGAGUUUAAGCUAUUAUAUAUUAUAUUUACUAUUUAAAUUAUCAGUAAGAAUAAUAUAUUUAUAUUUUUAGGUCAAUUAAUAAAUAAUAGUCUGAUGGUAAGUAUAUCUGAAUAAUUCUUUAAUAGAUAGAAGACAAUAAUAUAUAUUUAUACACUCUAAUAAAUGUCUAACCACAAUUUUAACUCUAAUAAAUGUCAAACCACAAUUUUAACAUAUAAAUAGAAUGAUAAAUCCAUUUAAUGUUUAUAAAUUUUAGUAUUUUAGUUAUAAUUUAUAGAGUGAUAUACCCAUUUAAUACUUAUAAAUUAAAAUUAAUUAGUAUUUUAGUUAUAACUUAUAGAGUGAUAUACCCAUUUAAUACUUAUAAAUUAAAAUUAAUUAGUAUUGUUAGUUAUAAUUUAAAUAGUAAACAUAACAAAUAUGUGUUUAAGUUAGUUAACAAAUAAUAGUAUAUAUCCAUAUUCAUGAAAUAACUAACUCUCUAACUGAUAACAAUAACAUAUAUUUAUAUAUUCUCAUAGCUAACUACAACUUUAAUAUAUAAAUAGAGUGAUAUACUUAUUUAAUACUUUUAAAUUAAAAUUAAUUACUAUUGUUAGUUAUAAAUAUAUUUUAAUAAGUUAAUAUUAAAAAAAUAACAAGAUUAAACUAGCCCUAAUUAGAUUUAAAUAAAUUGUAUUCCCUUCUUCCCUUAGCCGAAAACCCAACUUCAUUGUUGAGUGUUGAUAGCCCAUUUUCUCUUUACCUAGCUAACAGGCAACGGCUCUUCUUUCGCUCACCUAGCCAACAUCCCUUCCCUCACUCACCCAAUGUUAAUAUUUCUCCGUUGCUCAUCCAAUAGCACGCUACAAUCUCUCUCCCUCCCUCUUCUAGCCAAUAGCCUUUCCUUACUCACUUAGCGACAUCUUUUCUCCCUUUGUGAAGCAACAACAAAUUGAUUUCCUGAGCCUUUUUUCCACACUCCUUUUAUCAUAACCUUUCUCCCAUUGCAAGGUGGCAACAUUCCUCCCUCCCUCAGGCAUUAAUUUACUUUAUAUGUGUUCUUUAAUUUAGAUAUUUUCUUUUUUUUUUUUCUGUUGAAUCUUUACAUAUUCACUUUAAUUCAUCCUUUUUAUGCUCUUUAAUUGAUUUGCUUUGCAUAUUGUUGAAUAUAAAGAAAUUGUUUUGUUUAUGGUUGUAAAUUGAUUUGUUGAUUAGGCUUAUAUCUGCUUACUGACUUAAAGAAAUUGAUUUGCUUGUAGUUAUAAAUUGAUGUUUUGAUUAAGCUUAUGGUUGUAUAUUGACCUAAAGAAAUUAAUUUGGUUGUGGUUGUUAAUUUAUCUGCUUUAAAUUUAAGCUAAUAUCCAACUGUAGGUCAAUUCUUGAAAUAUAUGUUAUUAUUCUUACAUAUAGGUAGGUAUUGUUUGCUAACAUAUAUUGUUUUUCAUAUUUAGGAUAUUUAAAAUAUCAACAUUUAAUAGUUUCAAAGCUAUAGAGAGUUAUAAAGUGGGUACUGCUUCUCAAACUUCUGCAAUGACUCUGCCUUCUAGUAGCUCCUCCUAUUAUGGAUUAGUUAAUCGACACCAAUCCAUCCCCCUCAUACAUUGCCAACCAAUAUAGAUCCAACUGCUAGUCUUCCUCCAAUUAGCAAUUCGGGUAAGAAAAGAAAUUUGACAUCAACUGUUUGGGAUCAUUUUGAAAACUUCCAUUGUAGUAGGGAUGAUUAGGCAAUUUGUAAUUAUUGUAAGACAACCCUUAAAGCUAAUAGCAAAUAUAGGAUCAAUGUAAUACCAGGCUAGACCCCGGCAUCGGAAUUCCAACUUUCCGGCGGAAUCUCCGUUGGAAUCCGGAAUCUCGGAUGUCGGAACAUCUUGAAGGGUAAAAUAAGGUUUUAUGAAAUGAUUUUAUAGUUUUAAUGCUAAGUUUUUGAAUUAAAGUUUUCAAAUGAAGAAACUGCCUUGGAGGGAAAAGCCCAGGUUCGGCCGCCGAAUAUGGUGCGGUUGCAGAAGCUCCUUUGGCCUUCAAAGGUGGUCUGGCCAGCCACCUAUAAAAGGCCCCUAGUCCGAAAAUAGAUGAGUUUUCUCUCUCCAUUUUCGGGUAUAGGUGAGGUUCUGCCAUUCCAUAGUUGAUUUUAUGUUUUUUCCUUCAAGAUUUUUAUAAGUUUUUGCUUUGUUUUGAAGAUUUUAAGCUUAAAUCAAAGUUUUUAAGCUUGGAGACCUCCGGAGACCAUUUUCUCCUCAUCUCCGAGUUCGGAUCACAUCUACUCUCGAUCUUCAAGAGGUAAGUGUAGAUCCCCAUCUAUUCUUAUGUUUUAAGUAAGUUUUAAAAGGGGUUAAGGGUAUAUAUUGCAUGUUUUUUAGUAGGAUAUUAUGUUAGGGUUUAUGUUAGCUUUAUGCUUAAUGUGAUGUUAUGUGUUGUUUGUUGGGAUUUAGGCUAGUUUUAUGCCCCUUAUGCAUGUUGAAAUGUGUAUGCAUGUUUUAGAAUAGUUGGAUGUGAAUUUUAGAGAGUUUUGGUGGCUUGGGCAUGGUGGCAGAAUCGGGUUUUGUCACCCAGGAAGACCCAGGUUCGGCCGUCGAAGCAAGGAUCGGCCGCCGAACCUGCUAGGGGAGGCAGCUUUGGCCGCCUAAACUCGCCCCCGAAAGAUGGACUUUCAGAUCUGUGGGGGAGUUUCGGCCGCUGAACCUGCCCCCAAAAGUGCUUGACUUUCGGAUCUGUAGGGGCUUUCGGCCGUCGAACCUGCCGCCGAAAGUCUUCUGUCUAGCCUUCCUUUGCUUAUUUUCUAUGCAUGUUUUAUGAUGUCUUAGGGGGUUUUGGGGAGAUGUUUAGUGUCAUGUUAGAGUUGGUUCGAUCCCUCAUUUGAGUGCAACUGUGUAGGAUCGGACUCGAGGAACCAAGGAGGCCAGCAGUGAGUUAGCUGUUCCAGAGUCAGCCAGAGGUGAGUAGAACAGAACUAUUUAUUAUUUUAAAGUAAUCAAACUUUUAAGCAUGUUCAUGCAUCGUGAAUGCCAUAUUAUACUAUAGGUUGUUUGCAUUAGAAUUCACGAAUAUGCUGCAUUGCAUAAUUUGCUGUUGAUGUGGAUGGAUAUUGGAUGACCCACUAGCCCUCGAUACGAUAUGAUACGAUAUGAUAUGAUAUGAAAUGAUAUGGAAGUCCAGGUCGAGGCCCAUUCUACGCUCCUGGCACAGUUGGAUAUGUUAUGUUAUGUUUAAGAGGAAGUCCUGAGGAGCUCUGUCGAGGGCCGGACAUUAUUUGGAUAUGUAGAGGGUUACUGGUGACGAGUCCAUCCUUGAUGUGAAUUGUUUGUGUUGUGACGCAUUUCAUGAAAGUAUAUGUUUAUUAAAUUAUUUUUAUUGUUCUGCUCACUGGAUUUUAGUAGCUCACCCCUUUCCUCCUAACCCCCAGGUUUGCAGGUCAAAGAUAGCACAGGAAGUCGGCAAGGGUGAUGCUUAUGUUGAUGUAAUAGAUAGUAGUGGACAUGUAAUAUGUAAUGGUUAGAUUUGUGUUUUGCCCUAGUUUAUGUUUUUGUAAAAUCCCUUUGAACAUGAUUAUUAUGUAAAGGUUUAAUGAUGAGUUAUAUUAAUCCAAGCUUGAUGUAUAUGAUGUUGAUCACACUACAGCAUUUGAUGAGGGCUCUAGUGUGGGUUUUGUGUUUACAGUAUAUGGAGAAUGUACAGGUCAAGCUUGGUAUAUGAAAAGUUUAAAAUUUUUAUGGAAAUGUAUCUUCAUGUUUGGGAUUUUAUCAGGUACACAGGAUGCAUAGUAGGCUUGCUAUGGGUUCCGGCGACCUUAAGUCGAUCUGAAUCCUAGCGCCGGUAGCGGUCCGAUUUUCGGAUCGUUACAAUCAAGUUUUUAUAUAAUCAUAUAAAGAAGUGUGCAAAGAAAGGCAAUUCAAACAUAGUGAAAUGUCUAGAUAAGCAAAAAUAUAUUUUUAUAGAUAUAAUAAAAGAUGAGAAAGUACAUUUUCAAAAUCCUACAUUUGAUCAACCAAAAAGUCAAGAAGGGAGUUGACAUAUACUAUUAUGUUACAUGAGUAUCUAAUUUUCAUUGUUUACCAUGUGGGCUUUAGAAAGUUUAUUACGAGCUUUCAACUGCUUUUCAAGAUGAUUUCUAGAAAUACUAUUAAGAAAAAUAUUUUGAAUGUCUAUGAUAUUGAGUUUGACAAAUUAUACAAAUCAUUGAGUGUUAAAUAGCAAUCACCACUGAUAUAUGGAUAGCAAAUCAAAAGAUAUGCUAUAUUUCUAUUACAUUAUAUUAUAUUGAUGAUUCCUAGGUGCUAUUUUAUGAUAAUUUUCUUAUUUCUUCAUCUUUAUCAAUAUGAAGAUUUAUUUGUAAUAUAUUUUAAUAUUUUAUUAAUUGUAUGUAAUUAUUAUUAUUAUUAUUAUUGUUAUAUAGAUUUGUGUAUGUUCCGUUGUACUAAGAGAAACUUACAAAAUAUCUAAUGAAGGCUUUUAGCAAGUGGAAUAUAGAGAUAAAAAUUUCAAUAAUCAUUGUAGAUAAUUUCUCUACUGAAAAUGGUAUGGUUAUGUUGUUAUCAAUAAACUAUUUAGUAAUAUUUUAUGUGAUGUGGCUAUAUUGCAUAUGAAGUGUUGUGCACAUAUUUUUAUUCUUGUUGUUAAGGAUGCGUUGAGUAUUAUUGAGAGUUCAUUUUUAAGAAUUAAGGACAAUGCAGUAUUUUGAGUAGAUUCUCCUCAAUGAUGAAAAAAAAUUUAAGAAAUAGAACCAUUCAAAGAUUACUUGUACAAAAAAGUUAUGUUUAUAUUAAAAAACAAGAUGGAAUUCAACAUAUUUUAUGUUUCAAAUGGCAAUUGAAUACAAGAAUGUUUUCCCUAGGGUGGGAAUUAAGAAAAAAAAUUAUAAAGAUGUACCUAAUGAUGAUAUUGGGAAAUGACAAAAAAAGUUAUAAAUAAAUUAAAAACUUUUUAUAGCAUCACUGAAAUCUUUAAUAGAAGAAAAUCGCUAUGUUUACUAGAAUGUUUGAAAAAUAUUAGAGUGAUUCAUAUUGUGUUUGGCUGUUGCUAUCAAAUUAGAUCCACAGUAUAAGAUGAAAGUGGUGAAAUAUUAUUUUUUCAUAAUUUAUGGCGAUGAUGCAUUAAAUGAGAUUGAGCAAUUUAAGAUUACUUAUUAUGACUUACUCAAUGAUUCCAAUCUCGAAUUCUUAAUCCAAAAUCUCAAAAUUCAUUUUUAGUUUCACUUGUUGUGAUAUCAAAAUCAAUAUUCUUUAAAAAAAAAUCUUAGUAAUUUAGUUGCAUUUCUUAACUCUUACUCCACUAAUUUAGUUACAAUACUCAAUAAUUCCAAUCUCUAAUUCCUAAUCCAAAAUCUCAAAGUUUAUCUUUAGUUUCACUUGUUGUGAUACCAAAAUCAAAAUUCUUUUAAAAAAAAUAUUAGUAAUUUAGUUGCAUUUCUUAACUCUUCCUACACUAAUUUAAUUGAAAGUUUAUUCAAUGAUUAAAAUAACAAUAAAAAAUUAUGCACAUAAAAAGAAAACAUGCUCUCUAGAGACAUUUUUAUAAAGGAGUAAAACAUAAACUCAAUGGCAUUAUAUUAAGAGCAACAAAAUAUUUCAUAUUUAUCAGUAAAGAGAGUGUAGAGAAAAUAUAAAAAUUGAUCGAAACCAUAUGUGAAUUUUGAGGAUAUUUUAAGAGAGAGAAAAAAAAAGAGUUUGAGAGCACCUGUUAAGAAACUCACUGACAGGACAGUGAUGUGAAGUUUCUAGCUCAUUUCUGGGUAACUUUAUGGAAACAUUUUGGAACUGAACUUCAAUACAGCAGUGCUACCCAUCCCCAAACUGAUGUACAAACUGAAGUGGUGAACCACAAGUUUGGCAAUCUUCUGCGCUGCAUCUGCAGUAACAAGAAAACUGCUUGAGAUCUUGUUCUUGCCCAAGCAAAAUUUGCUUACAACAGUAUUUUCCACAACUUUACAAAGAUGUCACCAUUUGCUGUUGUGUACAGGAAAGUCCCAGCGCAUACAGUUGAUCUUAUUGCCUUCCCUCAAGUUCUCAAAAUAGUAUCGCAGCAAGCAACUUGGCAAAGCAGUACGUGGAUGUUUUCAAACAGGUACAACAAUACCUUACAGAGGCCAAUGAUAAAUAUAAAGCCACAACUAAUAAACAUAAGCGUUUCAAGUCCUUCAAUGUCGGUGACCAAGUUAUGGUGUAUUUACGUAAGGAGCAUGGUGGAGGACAGAAAAAGCUUGACGCCAAGAAGAUUAGUCCAUUCCGAAUCAUUCAGAAGAUCAAUGACAAUGCCUAUGUUCUUUGACCUCUCACAUAAGAUGAAAAUUUUUAAGACGUUUAAUGUAGCAGAUCUAUUUUAGUACUACCCUGCUGAUGACAACUUGAGGUCGAGUUCAUUACAAGUGGAAGGGAAUGACAUGUAGCAACUAGUCUUGGACUUUACGGCAGACUUGGAACGGACCUAAUUUUUAUUGCCGACGUCCGAUAGAGAUUCACGAUAACUUUUCGGAAAGGAAAUUUCGAGAUGCACGACUUUCAAAAGUGUGACAAGUGCCACAAGCCUGUCAUAAAGUUCAAUAUGAAAAUUCCAUCAUUUAUGAGGUCAAUUUUAUAUUUUAAUUAUUUUUUUUUGGAUAUUUUGGGUAUUUUCAUAAUUUUGCUUAUUAGGAUUUUGUUUUUAUUAUAAAUAGCCUCCCUUAUCUAUUAAAAACUCACCUUUUCAAUUUUUGAGGAAUUUAAAUAAGAUUUUUAGUUAUCUAGACUAUCUUUUCUUUUAUUUCGUUUUAAUCAAACGAUACUGAUUAAAACUCCUGGCGGAGUCUAAAUAGUCUUUUAUCACUCACCUAUAAUCCUUACAAGAAAUUGAGGGAAAGAAAGAGGCAAGAAGAGAAAAGAGAAUGAAAAAGAAAAUGAAAAGGAAAGAGAGAAUAUAACUAAAAAAUAAAUAAUAUUGUUAUACUAUAGACAAUUAAUUUCAAUUGGUUUGUAUAUAUCUUAUAAUUGAUUUGUUAAUUGUAUCGAAUUAAUAAAAUUAUUUAUAGUUGAUUAACAAAUAUUUAAUAUUUAUUUUAAAACUAAUUUAAAUACUUAGAUCUUUUUCAUACAAAAAUAAAUAGUAUUUUAGAUUAUAUAACAAUAUAAUUUAUAGACAGAUUACGAAGAUAAAUUUAUGGGCCUAUUAGAGCAAAAUAAGAUUCCUAAGAAAGUGAAAUAAGAUUCCUAAGAAAGUAAAAUACAAUUUUUAUAGGACAAGACAUUUAAGUUUCAAUCUAUUACCAAAAAAGAAUGUGAAUGUUUAAAUUGAUGUACAACAAUAGACAAUAGGAUAAUUUAUAGUGUAGUUUCUAACAUUUUAUUAAAAUUCACAAUUUAGUCAUUAUUUUUUAAUAAUAAAUAAUUUAAUUUUAAAAUUUUUAUUUUAUUAGCAAAGUAGUUUUUAUAUUGAAUUUAGAAAAAAAUUACUACUUAGUUCAUAUAAUAUGAAAAAACUCACUAAUUAGUCUCUUAAUUUUAAAAAAUAUACUAAAAUGUCCUUGAUAUUUUAAAAAAUCUAUCAGUUAGUCUCUCAGUUAAUUUUAACUCUUAAGUAUUAUAAGAAAAAGUCUAAAAUAUAUCUAAUACAGAGAGACUAAUUAGUAGACUUUUUAAUAAUCUGAGUGACUAAUUAAUAAAUUUUAUAAAACUAUAUGAACUAAAUAGUAAAUAUUUAAGAGCUAAAAUUAAUGAAAUAACUAACUAGUAGAUUUUUUUUAGAACGUGAGGGAUAUUUUAAUAUAUUUUUCAAAAUCGAGAGAUUAAGUAGUGAAUUUUUCUAUAUCAAAUAACUAAAUAAUAAUUUUUUCCUUAAAUUUACCAUUAGUCAAUCAUAAACAGAUGAAGUCAAUUUUAAUUAAAAAGAUUAAAACUAUAAGAACUAAAAAAAUUAAUUAUUAAAAUUAAAGGAACUAAACUUUUUAAAAAGUGAAAUUUUAGGGAAUAAAUUAUUAUAAUCUAACUAUGACUUAUUAUUUUAUUAAUAGAAUAAAACUAGAUUAUUUAUCAUUAAAAUGAUAGGAUUAAAUUAAGUUGUGUAUUUUAUUAAAUUUUAAAAAUUAUAUUAUAAAUUACCUUAGAUAAGAUGGUGUAUUUAUAUUCAAGGUAGAAUCAUACAUAUUUUCAUACGCUAAGUGUGAUAACAUAACAAAUAGAAUAAUAAUAUAUUUAUGAUGACUAAUUCUGACAAUAACAUAUAUUUUUAUAUUUUUGAAUAAAUGUUUAACUACCAUUUUAAUAUAUAAAUAGAAUAUCCAUUUAAUAUUUAUAAAUUAUAAUUAAUUAUAAUUUUUAGAAUAAUAUACCUACUUAAUACUUACAAAUUAAAAUUAGUUUGCAUUGUUAGUUAUAAUUUAAAUAGUCAACAUGACAAAUAUUUGUUUAAGGUGGUUAACAAAUAAUAGUAUAUAUUUAUCACUAUAAUAAAUUUAACUUUUUUUGACAAAAUUUCAGUGGGAAAAAAUUGCUACUAAAAAUUCACUAAAAUUUAUAGAUAAACAUCUAAAAUUUGUCACUAAAUAUAAAAAAUGGCUCCUAAAACUUUCAGUUUUGUAUUUUUUUAUGGUGAUUUAAUGGAAAAUUUUAAUUUUUGCUAUUAAAUAUUUUAGUAGCGAAUUUUACGCAUUUAUCAAUGAUUUUUAUCCCUAUUAAAAGUUAAAUUUUAUAGUAUAUAUUCAUUAGAUGACUAAUUCUCUAAUAAAUAACAAUAAUAUAUAUUUACCUACUCUAAUAAAUGUCCGACCACAACUUUAAUAUAUAAAUAAAUGUUAUACCCAUUUAAUACUUAUAAAUUUUAGUAUUUUAAUUAUAACUUAUAGAGUGAUAUAUCCAUUAAAUAUUUAUAAAUUAAAUAGAAAAUAUAUUAAAUAUGUAUUUAAAUUAGUUGACAAAUAAUAGUAUAUAUCUAUAUUAAUUGAAUGACUAACUCUCUAAUAGAGAACAAUAACAUAUAUUUAUAUACUCUAAUAGAUAUCUAACUGCAACUUUAAUAUAUAAAAAGAGUGAUAUACUUAUUUAAUAUUUUUUAAAUUAAAAUUAAUUAUUAUUGUUAGUUGUAAUUUAUAGAGUGAUUUACCCAUUUAAGUUAUAAAAAUAUAUUUUAAUAAGUUAAUAUUAAAAAAAUAUAACAAUAGCAAACUAUCCCCUAAUUAGACUUAAACUUACUAAAUUGUACUCCCUUCUUCCCUUAGCCGACAACCCUACUUCUCUGUUGAUUGUUGAUAGUCCAUUUCCUCUUUGCCCAGCUAACAGGCAACGCCCCGUCCUUCACUCACCUUGCCAACAUCCCUUCCCUCACUCAUUCAUAUUAUUAUCUGCACAAUAACGUUCCCAUUUUCUCAUAAUAUUUGAAUGCAAUCAUAAAAAAUUUAACAUAUUUUUUAUAGGUUGAAUGUAUACAUUUAAAUUUUUAAUUCCAUCUUGUACACAUAAAUUAAUCACAUAACAUGCAUAUCUAAUAUGAAAAUAUUUACUACCGAAAAUUGGUUGUCAUAUAUUUUUCAAAGAUGUAAUAGAUGCAACAUUUGCUGAAGCAUUAUCAAAGCCAAUGGAAAAAAAUAUUAAAUGUAAGUAAAUAUGCUUCUAAAAUAUUUUUAAUUAAUCGUGCAAUAUUAAAGCUCUAAAAUAUAAUAAUCGUUUUUGCAUAACAUAAUUCCCACAUAUGAAUUAACUUAUCAAUAAUAUGUCCAGAUAUCUGAACAGAUAGAAACUUUAUAUUUCAAUUAUAAUAACAAUUGAAUCAAUUGAUUUUUUAACUUUACUAUAACAUGACUCUAUAUAACUUUUUAAAGAAUUAUGAGAAAUUUUUUUAAUAUUAAGAAUAUAAAGUAGCUUGAAAAGAUUUGCAAACUUGCAAUUUUUUAGUAAAUGAAAAAGACAAUUGUUCAAGACAUACUAAUUUCGUCAUUUCUUCUUUAACUAAAGCAUAAGAAAAUAGUACGUGGUUGCAUACCUCUAAAUUUUACAAUUUGGAUCUGUCUUGUAUCACCACUUAUUUCACUAGGAUGUUUAUUUUGAAGAUAUCUGCAGAAAGUUUCAUAAUCACUUUUGUUUAAAAAUUUAAAAAGGUGAUUACAAGAAUUGCAUUUUAUCUUAAUUUCAUUAUCGAUGAAUAUUUUGAUGAAGUGAACUGUAAAAUUAUUAAACUUUAACGUACGAUCUAAUUGGGUUGACUUUAUUAUUGACUCCAUUGUUGUAUUGGUAUUGACGCUCAUCUUCACUAUCAUUUAUAUUUAUAUGUUAUGAUCUGAUAUUUAUUGGAUAUGUGAAAGGAAGCUGGCUAUUAAAUAAUUCAUUGAAAUUAUCAGAACCUAGGGAUCAAACAUAUUUUGAUUGAUAAAAUUCGUUGCUUUCCUUUUGCCCUUAUCUACUCUCAUUGAUAAAUUUCAAGAACUUGCCAUGUUAUAAAAAAAAAUCAAAUUAAAGUAUUAGAGUUUUUGAGAAAAUGAGAAUAAUUUGAGGAACUGAAAUGAUUUAAAAUUGAAGAAAAUAUUGAGAGAAUUGAGAAUUGGGAGAAUUGAAUUGAGAAUUGAGAGAUCUUUUAGAUGAUUUUGAGUGAAGUAAUAUGUUGAUAUUUAUAGAAAAAAAUUAAUUUUAAAAAUAAUAAAAAGGGGUCUAAAAUUGGAUCGUUUGCUACCUUCAGGCCUGGAGCCUAGGUUGCAAGCCUGAAGGUAGGCUGCCAGCUGUAGACCUACAUGUGCAAGCUUGCUGCCUGCAGCCGAUAAAGAGAGGGUUAGGCACUGCCAUGUCUAACCAUGGGGAGCCACGUGGCAAGUUUGAUAUGUGGCAUCCCCUGGUUGGAUGUUUUUAUAUUCAUUUCAAUUUAACUGGAAUCUGACCAGGCUGCCGGUUUGAACCGGACGGUUCCAUUUCGAUUCUAUUUUUGGUUUAGAGAAGGAAAGCCCGUAACCGAUCUCCCUCCUAAAAGACUGCGGUGCGGUUCAUGAACUAGAAAUGUUUGACCGGUGUGAUCCCAAGUUUGAUCAGUUCGAUUCACUGUUUGAACCGUACCGUGGCUAGGUCUAAUCACAACCUUUCUCCUAUUGCAAGGUAGCAACAUUUUUUCGUCACUCAGAUAUUGAUUUACUUUAUAUGUGUUCUUUAAUUUAGACAUCUUCUUUUUUUUGUUGGAGCUCCUUAAUUGAUUUGCUUUAGAUAUUAUUGAAUAUAAAGAAAUUGAUUUACUUAUGGUUGUAAAUUGAUUUGUUGAUUAGGCUUCUACCUACAUACUAAGGGCUCGGGCCGGGCCAUAGAUCCUGCUAAGACCGCGCUUCCCCCUGCUAAUAAAGGAAAAAGGGUUACGGAGCUGCUAUCUUCUGCCCCUGACAACGAGUCCCUCAAUGCUGCCGAGGUGACUCCCGAGUCUACGGCGGCUUCUAUGGCUGAGAUGCUGCAUGAGAAGAUGUUCGGGAGGGUCUCCAAUGUCUCUGAUCCCUGCUUCCUUACUCUUGCCAGCCAUUUGGUCUACUAUACCAAACAGUAGGUGGCCUUCCGUUCGCGGUCUCAGGAGGACCUAGGAGAUAGCCUGAGAGAGAUGCUCCUCAUGAUAAUUCAUAUGCUUUCUUAAACGUGUUUUUAUCUUUAUUCUCUUCUUAACUUUGUUUGUUGCCUUUCCUUGAUAGGCCUGGGCGUGUUCAUGGAGAUCGACGUUUGGGAUCAGUCCCUUCAGAGCUCGAUGGACCAACGCAUCAACAAAACGCAUCGUGAGGAGAAUAUCAUGGCUACUGGUGAGGCCCGUGGGAACAUCAUCGAGCUUCGGAACCAGAUCGAGGGCCUCACCAAACGCCUAGGAGAUAUGAGGGAAGAGGUUAGCAAGGCUUCUGAAUGGGCUUCCAUGGUGGAGUCUCAGCGAGCUGAAGCCUUAGCCCAGUUGUCUGCUUUGGAGGAGUCCUGCCGCCAGCAUGAUGAGGCCCGGGCUCAGCGCGAUGAGGCUUUAGCCCAGUUGUCUGCUUUGGAGGAGUCCUGCCGCCAGCAUGAUGAGGCCCGGGCUCAGCGCGAUGAGGCUUUAGCCCAUGCUAUUGUCUUCCAACAAGAGCUUAAUAAACACAUUGAAGACCUGAAAGGCAUGGCCUUGGCAGUUGAGGAGUCUCGCUGACUCGCGGUUGUUGAAGCCGGUCAAAAAUAACCUUUCUGGUUAUCAACAAUUUACAACUGCAGAUAGUGGUGAAAGGAUCGAAUCCACAGGGAAUUGAAGACUUACCUAUUUUCCUUAUAAAGACCAAUAAAAUAAACUGCAAAAGAAAAAAACUGAAAACGAGAUAAACUAAAACGAGAUAAAACUGAAACGAGAUAAAACUGAAACGAGAUAAAACUGAAAUAAGAUAAAACUGAAACGAGAUAAAACUGAAAACGAGAUAAUCUGAAACGAGAUAAAACUGAAAUGAGAUAAAACUGAAAGGAGAUAAAACUGAAAGAGAAAUAAACGGAAAGCAAAAUAAACUAAAACGAGAUAAAACUGAAAGCGGAAUAAAAAUAAAUUGCAGUAAAAGUAAAAUAGGGGGUUUGAGAUUGGUUUGAUUAACAAACUACUGAAAGCAAUUAAAAUAAACAAAUAACAAAAUAAAAGAGAAAUAAAUAAUGAGAAAGAUCUAGUUGAAGAGUUGGAUCCACUUUAGUUGUUGGGAUUGAUCAUUGACACUUAGUUUCUUUUGGGUUGAUUCAAUAGAUUAGUUAUGGAGAUGGAAGACGCUUCUCACCACCAUUAUCUCUCCUUAUGAUUAAACCAAUUAGGGAACGUCCUCUAAUUAAUUACUAAUUAACAAAUUGCCAAGGAACGUCCUUGGGCCUUAGGCAUCAAAACAAUUGUCAAUUGCAUUAAGAAAUAGAGAGAUCCAAUCCUAGCUACCCAAACGUAUGGAGAUAACGCUAGAUCAUACAAUUUCCUUGGGUUUUAUCCCAAGUGUUCUUAUGUAAGAAUAAUCUAAGCAAUUACGGACUUAAAUCAUCCAAACUAACAUAUUAUUACUUUGCAAUCAAGAAUCAACGUAGAUCUAAACAACAAAGUAAUAUUGAAAUCAAGCAUGAAAUUGCAUAAAUAUUGAACAACCAAAAGUUAAACAAUGUUUGAUCAAGUCUCCCAAUCCAUAAAACAACCAAAGUAUCACCUAAUAUUCAACUAGAAUAAAAUAUUUCAGCCUCUCAUGGCUGAAACAAAACCAAAAAUAAAAGAAAAGAAGAAAGGUAGAAGAAGAGAUGUGAAUUUCGUAGGUGUCUCCCAAGGGGAGCUUAAAGGUCAUGUAGAGGCUUCCUAUGUGGCUUUUUAUAGUUGAAAAGUGUUGCCCUAGGUCAUACUUACUGUCCAAGAGGUAUUUUCUGCCCAAGAUGUGUCUGAAAAGGAAAGAAUCGCGCUUUUCGGCUUCAGAAGGAAGGCUGCGCGAAAAUGCACUGCGGAAGGAAGUUGGUGCGCGCGGUUUGGUCUCAGAAAGGGAAUGAGGCGCAGAUUAUGCUUCCUAAAUAAGUUUAGAUGCUGACCUUGCUUCCUAAUUAGUGUAGAGGCUGCCCAAGGUGCUGUCCAUGUGCAACUUGCUGCCUAAGUUGUUGUAGAAAAGGAAGGUGGCGCGCAGAUGGCUCUCAGAAGAGGAAAGCGCGCAGAUUGUUUCUGAAUAGGAAGGAUGCACGAAUUUUGAUCUUCAAAGGGGAAGAUAUGCUGUCCAUACAUUCCUUUUUAGGUGGAGCCUCUUUUGAAAUUUGAAUAUUGAAUGCAGAAGAGGAAGAGCAUCUCUUUGAGAUCUUGCUGCCUAAAUAGGAAGAUAUGACUGCUGCAGUGUGUGCACAUCUUUGAACAAGGAAAGAAAGAUCUGCGAUUUGAAUUUCAAAUAAUUUUCUGACUGAGCUUUCCUUGUUUGCUUUUGCUUCUGCACUUUCCUCAUUUGAAAACUUUCAUUUUCUGAAAACUUUCCUUAUUUGGAAACUUUCCUUUUUUGGCACUUUCCAUAUUUGGCACUUUUUAGCAGUUUUAAGAGCAUUUUCUCCAGAUUGUCUCUUGACACCUAAUAUCUGCAAAACAUAAUUAAAACCACAAAAUUAAGCAGAAAAGAUGUAAAUAAACAUCAAGAACAUAAUGAUAAAAUGACCUAAAAUAUGCUCUAUCACUCGCCUUCAGCAACAACAACUUCGCCAAGAGGUCAGCACUCUGGAAGAGAGAUGUACUCCCCUGUUGAAGGAUGCUUGGGCUGCAGAGGAUAGGGUCCAGCGGGCUUGCGAGGAGCGCCUACAGGAGUAUAAAGACUCUACUAAAUUUAAAGAUGUCAUUCAUCGGGCUUGUGAGGUGCAACUAGAGGAGUAUAAGGCCUCCGUAGAGAUGAAGGAAACUAUAUAUAAGGAGGCCUUCCAAAUGUUCGUCUUCGGCUACAAUCAAGGCUUGAAGUCAGCUAGGGAUGCCUCCUCCACUCCAUUGGCAGACCUAUGAGCUCCGGAAGUGGAUUCUGAUGGCGAGGAGGUGCGCUACGGAGAGGAUGAUAACCCUUUGCCCAAAGGUGCUCCUCGCUUGCCUCCUGGACCAGAGGAAAGGAUACUGUAGAUAAACCCCUUAAUGACUUAGUUAGUUCUGCCCCAUCUUCCCCUGCUGCUUCUGUAACCCAUUUAAAUAAUUAAUAAAGCUCAUUUGUUUGUUAUUUUUCUUCUGUUCACUUUUUAUUUCCCUUAUUAAAUUUGCUUGUAUUUUUCCACUUAAUCUGCUUUUGUAUGCAUAACUUGUGAAUGUAGCCAGGCCAUCAGCUCAUUAAUUUGGACUUGUUUGUUUUUCUUCCUAUACUUAGGCUAUUUUCAUGUUGAAUUGUGCUGAGCUGGUAUUCUGCCGACUUAUUUUACCUGCAGAUCAUCUUAUUUGCUGUGUUACUUAUUAUUUUUUGUCUGUUGAAUAUCUUCGUGUCUUCCUAUCGCUUAUUUCUUUGAAGUUUCUGAUUUUUAUUUUCAUUUUGAUUUUGCCUUAACUUUGUUUUUCUUUAAAUCUUAGGGACACUGGGCGUUUCUUCAAGGUCGGUGUUGUGCCUUAGACUUUACAAACCUUAGAUUAACUUUCUGAUGGAGUACGCUCUUUCAUGAAAUUUAUAUUAUAAUUCCUUAGGUUAAUUUUUCUACUAGCCGAGCUCUAUUUAUGAGGCAGGCAUCAUACCUUAAGUUAGUUUUUCUUAUGAGACGAGAUUCUUUGUGAGGUUAGACUCUCGUUCUCCUUUGAUUUGAGCUCCUCGGAGAGGUCAGAAAUAGUUCCUUGUUUGCGAUCCGGGCCCGUUUAUGAGGCCGGUCACUUAGGUUUGCGCUCUUUUCCUCGAGUCUCACGUGCGCCGAGGUCCUCUCUUUUAACUUUGCUCCCUUGUCUGAGCUCUUUGGAUCCUGUAUCAUUUCGGGCUCUUUAGCUUUGACUUUGGUUUACGUCUCUUACUCUUGAGUUUGUCUGUGUGCGCUUUCCGGGCUGCUUGCCUCCAAGCGUCUUUCAGAUUCUUUUUUUUUAGGUUAAGUCUUAAGGUUCUCUUCUUACCGAACUGGUUUGAUAUUAGGGGUUAAUCUUUGAGGUUGGUGCUUCUCAUUAUUGCCCCGGCUUUUGUUUGCAUAUGAGUCUUGAGGUUGGCGUGUGACCUAGGGACCAAAGUAAUAGAACCAAUGGAUAGACCUAACGAGGUGAAAGAAGGUGUAGAAUAACUCAAUAGAAGGGGCAAAACCCCUGUAAUACCCGGCUAGACUCCGGUAUCGGAAUUCCUACCGUCCGGUGGAAUCUCGGAUGUCGGAAGCCUCUAGUAGGGUAAAACCAUGUUUUUAUGAAAUGUUUUAAUGUGUUUUAUGUUUUAAGCAUGAAAGAAAAUGAGUUUUUGCAUGAAAAUAGCAUUGGAGGAAAACUCAGGUUCGGCCGCCGAACAUGCAUGCGUUGCGGGUAUGCUUUAGGCCCCUGAAAGCAUAAGUGAGGGAAGUCCAGGUUCGGCCGCCGAACCCCAAGUUCGGCCAAGGUGAGUCUCCGUCGCCCCUCACCCAUCUUUGGAGUCUUUCCUCUAGAUCUUUCAAGAUUUUCACUUGUUUUCACUUUAUUUUGAAGAUUUGAGCUUUUGAGCAAAGUUUUGGAGCUUGGUGGUUCAAGAACCCAAUUUCUCCCAACUUCGAGUUUAGGUCGUCUCCCUCUCGAUCUUCAAGAGGUAAGAGCCGAUCUUAAGCUCAUUGCAUGUUUUAAGUAAAGUUUUAAGUAGAUCUAUGGGUUAGAAUGCAUGUUUAGGUUAUGGUUAUGUUUAUGGGUAUAAAUGUGUGUUCUUGAACAAUGUGGAUGCUUGAUGUGUUGUAGAUGGGGUUUAUGAUGGUUUGAGGCCCCUAGGAACAUGUAUGCUUGUGUUUGUGUGUUGUAGAAUAGGUUUGAUGCAUGUUGGAAAGGUUUGGAGGCGAAAUGUGCAUAGGGAGCCAAGUUUCUGCCCUUUGGCAGAAACCAGGUUCGGCAGCCGAAGGACUUUCGGCCGCCGAACAUGGCUGGGGGGGGCAGCCUUUCGGCUGCCGAAGCUUGCCCCCGAAAGGAGACUUUCGUCUCUGUCUGGCAGUUUCGGCCGCCGAAAGUGCCGCCGAACAUGCAUGAGUUUCGUCUCUGUCUGGGAGUUUCGGCCGCCGAAGGUGCCGCCGAACCUGCCUGACUUUCGGCUCUGGAGGGACUUUCGGCCGCCGAACCUGCCGCCGAAAGUGCCCUGUCCAGGCCUCCUUUGCAUGAUUUUGUAUGGUUGUUUCAGGAUGUUUUAGGGGGUUUUUGGGGAGUAGUUUUAGUUAUGUUCAGGUAUGUUUGGUUCCUCAUUUGAGUCCACCUGUGUAGGUUCGGACCCGAGGAACCGAGGACCCCAGCAGUGAGCUCAGCUGCUUCGGUGUUGUCAGAGUCAGCCAGAGGUGAGUGGAACUAAACUUAAUCUUUUAAAUUAAAUGUUUUAUCAUGUUUCAUGCAUCAUGAUUAUGCUAUAGGAUGAUUGCAUUAGCUUCACGAAUAUGCCGCAUUGCAUCUAUUGUUGUUGAUGUGGGUGAAUGUUGGAUGACCCAAUUAGUCCAUGACAGGAAGACCAGGACCCCAUUCUACGGCCUGGCACAAUAUAAGGAAAGACCAGGACCCCAUUCUACGGCCUGGCACGGUUAUGGGACUCGAAGACCAGGAGCCCAGAGGAGGCCCUGGGGCAAAUGGUAAGUAAUGUGUGUUAUGACAGGAAGACCAGGACCCCAUGCUACGGCCUGGCACAAUGUUAGCUUGGACUAAUUGGUGACAAGUUCACCCAACCCUUAUGUGAAUUGUCUGUGUUAUGAUGCAUCUCAUUGGAGCAUAGUGUUAAUAUGUUUUAUAGUUCUACUCACUGGGCUUUUAGCUCACCCCUCUCCCUUUACCCCCAGGCUUGCAGGUACAGGAUAGAGCAGGAGUCCGGAUAGAGUAAAGAAGUCAUGUUUAUGUAAUAGUUAGUAAUGGACAUGAUCAUAUUGUAUUGUAAUGUUUUAAUCAGUAUAGAUGAUGUUUAUGGAUGCUAGAGGUGUGCUUGACCAUAGAUUGUUGUAUCCCUUUUUAAUACAUGAUCUUGGAUUUUUAUGAUGUUUAUGUAAACCAACUCAGCAUAUGUUUUGUCACCCAUUGGGGGGGGCAUUGAUGAGAUCCCACUGAGGGAUCAAUGUUAUGUUAAUGUAUAUGCACAGGUUGAGUUUGGUUGAUGUAUAUGGAAAGAAAAGUUUUAAUUUUUAUGUAUGUUGUUGAUCAUGUAUGGGAUUAUACAGGUUUACAGGUUAGAUUUCAGGCUUGCUACGGGUCCCGGCGGCCUUAAGCCAAUCUGGAUCCUAGCGCCGGUAGCGGUCCGAUUUUCGGGUCGUUACAACCCCAGCACGGGCAAACAUACUCGAAACAACACAUGAACAAAAUAGAAUUGGGGGACAACAUCCGAGGAGAUACCCUAAAAUGAUGAAAGACCUUAAUAAAGAAAGAGGUAAAAGGGAAGGUCAGCCUGAAAUCGCGCUGCUUGACGAAAAAGACUAAGUUACGUCCUUGCUGGGCGUCUAUCAAACCCACCGGUGGUGAGUAGGGGAGAAUGAUCCGCUCAUUAGGUAAGGGAGCCCUAAUUCUAUAGAUGUUAGUCUCAGAAUAGUCAGUAGAAAAGUAGUGAGAAAAGGAGGAAGAGGUGAUAGAGGACACUAGACCCACUACAUCAAGAAUCCUUGCAGAAGCCAUGAGAAGAGUAGGACAUAUCUUGAAUUAGAAAGGCAGGAAUUAUGGAGAAGAGAAAAGGCAAGACAACGGAAGCAACGCAAGAGGCAGAGUAACAAGUGAAAGUAAGAGCAUAAGUUUGAAACGGAUAAAGGCGAAGAGGAAACAUUUUGACAACAACUCUCCUAGAGCCGUGCAGUAAUAAUUGGAGUUUUGGGAUUUACCCCCUCAUUAAUCAUUAAUCAUGGAAUAAUUAAUAAGCAGAUAAAGGGGUACUUAUUGAUAAUUGGGCCAGGAUACCUCGAUCUUAUUUGACCUCGUACUGAAAAGGUCAGGCUUAACUCUACUACGGCCCAACACAUAGGUUUGCUUCACAUGCAAGCCCAAAAUUCACUUUGAUGAGUCAGACCGAACUCGAGUCUACGCAUGGGAGACCUGACCAUGUUUAUCCCUUUGGCCUCGUGAGACAACAAACCCAUGAUACCCGGGAUCGUAACCACAUGGCGCCAGAUGGAAUUAAAUGGCCGCCUGACAAUGAAAAAGAACACAGUACGUCUGUACGUACGGUCAGUAUAACUAUGACAAGAGGGUACAAACGCAGGAUAGUGGUUACAAAUCACUAAAGGAUGAAAGGAAAAAGGAAUAAAGGAAGUAAGGGGGGAUAAACUAGACUAAACUUACCAAAAUACAACUUGAGCCUGUUUUUUACUAGAUCUCAGGAUAUCAUUAGAUACGUGAAAGUAAAUAAGAUAGUUUAAUCUAGGAUCACAUUAGAUUGAUAGAUCAAAAGGUAAAAGCUUGUAAAAACAAAUCCAAAGGUAAAAGCUUAUAGGAUCUUUUAAAGCACUCAAUACUUUUAAAAUGUAAUAUGUAAAAAUAAUGAAAAAGAAAACAUAAAGGAUUUUCCUACAAGACGUAGACCUUAAUGUGAUUGCUAGGUUUAAAGUUAAUACUUUUCUAGGUUAUGGUAAGUAACAAAGUUUUAGUUAUGCUUUUCAGAAAGGAAAUAGCUUAGGAUGUCAACGGAUUAGUUGAUAGAGAAAGUUCUUUUCAGUUAUAGUAAAAGCGUUGAGAAACCUUACUCUAAUUUAAAGAUGAAAAUGUGAAUUUAAAAUAAAAUAGGUAAAGGAAAAGAAAAGGAAAAACAAUUAUUAAACUUGAGAUAUAUGAAGUAAAGAUUAUCACUGAAUGGUUGCUAAUCUUAGCGAAGAAAAAACAAAAUUUACCUUCGACUAAUGUCAAAGUUCCACGUCAGUUAGGGGUGCAUAGUUAAGUUAAAUUACCAGUUUAGACUUGUUAUAGGCUUCGAGAGUUUUAAAUUAAUUUGAACCCUAGGGUUGAUGACUGUCCUAUUCUAAAGGCGUUGUAAUGUGGUUGUUUUGAUAUAAAAUUCAUAGUGCAGCUAUCAUAAUUUUUAAUUUAGGGUGUAAACAUAAAAAGUAGGAAAGUCAGGACCUUUUUUGCCAUUAUUUUCAUAUUUUAAUUAUUUUAAUAUAAAUAUUUGAUAUAAAAAUAUUAAAUUUACUUUUAUAAAUGAUACGAAACAUAAAGAGAUUAAUAAUUUUCAAUAAAUUAAAGGUUUCAAUAUAUAAUAGAUCAAAGGGUGUUGGAGUUAUUUAUAUUUAAUAUUAUAUUUAGAAUAUAAAAAAAGAAAUAAAUAUUAUUUUUUAAAAAGAUUGAAUCCGAUUUCAACCAUUAUUUAUUUGCUUUUAAAAAUUUAUGUAAUUUAUGGUCCUAUAUGAUAAUAUUGACGGAUUUAUAUUAAGAUGCAUUUUGGCUUAGCUUUAAGAUUGAUUGAAUUUUAUAAUUCUAAAUUAAGUGGAAAAUUUUCAAUAUUUUUUUUUGGAAAGUAACGAUUUAUGAAAGAAAGUAAAUUUUAUUUAUAUUUUAUAUUAUAAUUUAUUUUCUUUAUUUUACUAGCAUUAUUAUUGUUAUUUUUAUGUUAGUUGAAUUAGAUUUAUUUUUUUAUUCAAAUAAAAUUAUCUUAUAUUUUUUUAUAAUUAAAAUUUAUUUUAUUUUUCUAUUUUAACUAGAUUUUAUUUUAUUCUCGACUCAAUUAAAAUUAAGAGAUUUUUUUGUUAUAAAUAAUUAUUUUUUAUAUAAGUUGAAUAAAUUUAAAAAAUUAAUAUUUUCUCCACAAUAAAAAUUAAAUUUAUAUUAAUAUUUUAUUCCUUGAAAAGUUUUUUUUUCACCUUUUAUCUUUUAGAAAGUUGAUUAUUCUUUAUAUUUAUUUUAUUUACAUUAUAAAAAUUUUUUUAUAACUUUUUAAUUUAGAUUUUAUUAUCUCAUAAUCUUUUAAUCAUAUCUAUUAGUUAAAAGUGUGAUAAAAUAAUUCUUAAAAUUCGUGAUUAAAUUAUAUGAAGAGUUUUUUAUUACAUGUUGAUUUUAAAUUUUGUAUCAAUAAAAUAUUAGGUUAAAUUUCAUAAAAAAUUAUAUUAUUUUCAAUAAUAUAUAUAUAUAUAUAUAUAUUAUAGGCUAGUAUACAUAAAUUUAAUUUACUUGUCAAUUAUUUGAAUAUAAAAAUUCAAUAAAAUGUUAUCAAUUUGAAAUGGAAUUAUAUUGAAAAAAAAUAAAAAAAUAUAUCCAUUAAGAGAAGGACGAAAUUUCCAAUGCUUUUAUGGGUAAGAGUUGAGGUUCAUUGGAUUCCAUUGUAGCAAUAAGAUAGGAGAAAAUACAGAGACAAAUACCCAUUAAAAUUUGUAAGCUUGCCUCUCAUUUGUCAACAUUCCAUUGAUUGUAGGGUCCAUGGAUAAUCAAAUUAUCCAAGAAAAACGCCAAUUUAGUACUUCAUAUGUUCCAUAGAUCAAAUGCUUUCCAUUUCAAACUUCAAAAAAUUAAAAUUAAAAUAAAAAUUUAAUCCAUAAUAAAUUAGCUAGCUAGCUAAUUUUUCCUAUCAAACCAUGAAACUAUUAAUUUUUUUAUAAAAAAAUUAUUAAUUGUCUUAUUUAUAUUAUUUAAUUCUUAUAAUUUUAAGUAUAUAUUACUUAAUUUUAAUAAUUUUAAAUAUUUAUAAUAUAUAAUCCUUUUAAUUAAAGUUAAAAUAGUUAAUUAACGGUUUUUCAAUAAAAAUAUUAAAUAAUUUAAAUUUAUAAAAUAUAUAGAUAUUUCAAUUUUGAUAUAAAAAUAACUAAAUAUUUUAGAAAUUAAGGAUUGUACAGUAAUUCUCUCAAAAUAAAAUAAAAUUUCAUAUCCAAUCAAGCCAUGACAUUUGUGGCCAAAUGAUUUUUUUUAUAUAUAUAAAAUUGAGAAAGGGUUCGAAAAGGAUCAAAUCAAUUGUGCAUAAAAAAACAAAAAAUGUUUAAUCAAGAAAGGUGGGUUGAGCUAUAAAAUCAACUUUCAAAGGGACCCAUUUAUUUUAGAUAAAAAAAGGUGGGGCCCAUUUAUCUUGAAACUUGGCACAAGAGUUGUCUCCUCGAACGUGAGUUAGUCAAAAUCAACUACUCCAAUUCUCUGUUUGGAUGUUUAAAUGUUAAAAAGAAAAUAGUUUGACGUUGAAUUUCAUCCGGAUAUUUAUUGAAUAAAUUUAUUUUAAUUUUUAUUUUUUUUUAUCUACAUUAAUUUAAUAAUAUUAACGUCCAUUUGUGUAGAAAAAUAUCUUACAUUUUAAAAAUAUAUUUUAUAAAAAACAUAUUUUAUAAUAAAAUAAUUUAUUUUUAAUUACUUGAUUAAUUGUAAUUUAAAUUAUAUGUAUAACAAUGUUAAUAAAAUAUAUAAAAAAUAUUUUUUAAAAAAAUUAAUUAAUAUUAAUUAAAGAUGACUUAAUUAUCCCUUUUAACUAUGAAUAAUAUUUUUGUUAAUUAAUUUUUUAAAAUUUUUAAAUAUUAAAAAAUAUGUUUAAAAAUAUUUUUCAUGACCUAAAUGAAAUUUUAAUGUUAAUUUAAUUUAAUCCAAAAACUAAAAAUACUAAGAAAUAUAACUUUUAUUUUUUGGUUUAAUUAAGAAAUCAAUAACUUUAGUCUAAUUUCCUAAUUUUAUCUUAAUAAAAAAUUAAAAGAAAUUUUAAUUUUCAAGCUAAGUUAAGAUUAUGUUGAAAUAUUUGAACUAAUUUAGAUUAAAAAUUAAAAAUUAAAAAUUAAAAAUGUUAUUAAACUGAAGCUCCCUCAUUGGUAAACUUGAAUAUUUAGCCGGAAAGAAAAACCAUGGAAAGAAAAUAACUAUGGAAAAAAAAAAUAAAGCGAGAUUUCUAAAUUUGUCUCAGUUUUUUAUUAGAUAUUUUCUUAAAAAUAAAAUAAAGAAAAUUGUGUAAGAAAUACUUUAUUUGAAAAUUAUAUGUAUAUAUAUCCCUAUAUGAAUAAUGAUGAGAAGAGUAAAAAAUAAAGUGUGAUGAUAAAUUUAUUUCUCUUGGUAUUGCUCUUUCCAUCCCCCAUAUAAAUCUAUUUAUUUUUUUCACAUGGAUUGCAAAAAGUUAAAAAAUUAAUUUUACUACUGAAUUAUAUAAGGUGAAUGAAAUAUUAUAUUUUAAACUUUCAUUUAUUUAUAAAAAAUAAUUUAUUUUAAAAAAUAUGUUUUGUAAAAAAUAUUGCAUCAUAUAAAGUUCUUAAUAAGAGUUUUAAAAGUGUAAAUAUAGUUCUUUUUUAAAAUAAAAAGUUAUUUUUUUUAAAUAUUUUAAUUUUUUAAUAAAAAUAUUUUUUAUUAAUUAAAAUUUUUAAAUAUCUUAAAUAUAAAAAAAUAUAAAUAUUUUUCAUAAAAUAAAUAAAAUUUAAAAUUUUAAAUUUACCCUUGUACCGUUAUUAAAACAUUAAAUAAUGCACUUUAAAUGAAUUAUACUCUAUUUAAUUUAUUAAACUUUUUAAUAAUAGUUCAAAAAUAAUUUAAAUAUAAAUGAAAUUUGGAUUUUUUAUUUUUUGUUAUAUAAUUCAGAAAAUUUUUUAUUAUUUUUAUCAUGUAACUAACAUAAAUAAAAGCAAUAAAUUUUGAUUAUAUAUUAACUGAUAUAAAUUUAAUUUAUAUUAUUAUAUUAUUAAAUUAUUCCUAAAACUGAUAAAUUUUAAAAAUUUUUAUGAGAGAAAUUGAAAUAGAAACAGUUUAAACAUGGUUAAAAAUUUUAACUAAUAAUAUUUGAUUAAAACGAAAUUUAAAAAAGAAAAGUUAAAAACUAAAAUUUCUUAGAAAAGUUAAAAACUAAAAUUUCUUAUUAAAUAAUUGAAAAUUAAAAAGUUACACGAUUAAAACGAAAUUUAAAAAAAAAAAGUUAAAAAUUAAAAUUUCUUAUUAAAUGAUUCAAAAUUGAAAGGUGUCAAACAAUUAAGAAAAAAAAGCUAUUUAUAUUAAAAAAAUAUUAGUAUGAAAAAUUAUAAAAAAAUUUAAAAAAAUAAUAAAAUCGUAAAAUGGACCCUUUUAAGUGAUGAAAUUUUCAUCUCGAAUUUUAUAAUAGGUUUGUGACCCUUGUCACACAUUUAAAAAUCAUGUACCUCAAAAUACUCUUUUCGAAAAGUUAUUGUGAGUCUCCAACGAAUGUCGGCAACAACAGUUAAACUCGGUCCAAGUUUGUCAUAAAAUCCAAGACUAAUUACUUUGAAUCAUUCCCUUCCACUUGUAAAAAACUCGACCUCGAUUUGUCAUUAGCAGAGUAGUACUGAAAUAGAUUCGCUACGUUAAACAUUUUGAAAAUUUUUAUAUAACCUGAAAAGUCAAAAAUAUAGGCAUUGCCAUUAAUCUUCUGAAUAAUCCGAAAUGGACCAAUUUUCUUUGAGUUAAUCUUUUUUUAUCAUCCACUACGUUUUUUGCACAAAUACACCAUAACUUGAUUACCAACAUUGAAGGAAUUGAAACGCCUAUGUUUAUCGACGACAACUUUAUACUUGUCAUUGGCUUCAACAAGGUAUUUUUGUACUUAUUUGAAAAUGUCCAUAUGCUGAUUUGGCAAGUUGUUUGCUUUAACACUGUUAUGAAAACCUGUAGGAAGAGUAAUUCAACUGUAUGCGUUGGCAUUCUUCUAUACACAACUGCAAAUGGUGAUAUCUUUGUAAAGCUAUGGACAGAACUGUUGUAAGAAAAUUCUGCUUGGGUAAGAGUAAGAUCCCAAGCAAUUUUCUUAUUACUGCGGAUGCAACGCAGAAAAUUGCCAAGAGUGCAGUUCACUACUUUAAUUUAGCCAUUAGUUUGAGGAUGAGCAUCACUACUUUAUUGAAGUUCAAUCCCAAAACGCUUCCAUAAAGUUACCCAAGAGUGGGCUAGAAACUUCACAUUUCUAUUAGAAGUAAUGGUCUUAGAAAUGCCAUGUAAACGAACAACCUCAUAGAAAAAUAGUUUUGCAAUAUGAGAAACAUCAUUAGUUUUCUUAUAAGGAAUGAAAUGCGCCAUUUUAGAGAACGUAUCAACGAUAUUAAAAAUGGAAUCAGAUCUAUAUUGAGUACAUGGAAGACCAAGAAUAAAAUCCAUAGUCAAGUCCUCCCAAGGGUAUUUUGGAAUAGGUAAUAGAGUAUAUAAGCUUGUGUUCUGGGCAUGAACCUUCUGAGUUUGACAAACUAGAUACCUCUGUACCAUCCGUCCUGUAUACUUUUUCAAUUGUGGCCAAUAAAAACGCUCCUCUAAAUUAGCAAUGGUCUUCUUACGGCUCAAAUGACCAUUCAAAUCUCCACCAUGGAUCUCUCGAAUCAAUUUUUCCUACAAAGAAGAACAAGAAAUGCAUAACUUGUUCUCUUUAAAAAGAAAUCCAUCAUGUAUCAAGAAUCCAUUAACAGGCUGAUGAGCCUGGACCUUCAUCCAUACAUCAGCAAAAUCAUCAUCUACAACAAAUAAAUCUUUCAAAAAUUUAAAAUCCACGACCUCCUGACUUACUAUAAUCAACAAGGUAGUCCUCCUACUUAAAUUGUUUGUUACCUUAUUAUUAUGGCCAGCCCUAUGUUUUAUGACAUAAUGAAAAGUUCGAAAAUAAGCUGCCCAUCGAGCAUGCAUCUUAUUCACAUAUUUUUUAGUUUUAAAGUGAAACAAAAAUUGAUGAUCUGUGUGAAUAAUGAACUUCCGCCCAUCAGAUACUGUUUCCAAGUUUUAAAGGCCUGGAACACUACAUAAAAUUCCUAUUUAUAAGUAGACUACUUUUUCCUAAUAUCAUUCAAUUUCUCACUAAAAAGGUAAUAAGCCUAUUAGACUACGAUAACACACCGCCAAUCCCAACUCCACAAGCAUCACAUUCAACCUCAAACAGUUUAUCAAAAUCAGGUAGUGCAAGAAUAGAGGCAGAAGUAAGCUUAUCUUUAAUCUCCUCAAAACUUUUGUUGGCAGAGUCGGUCCAAGUAAAAUUCUGCACUCUCUUUUUCUUCAAACAAUUUAUGAUAGGGGCUACUAUACUGCUGAAAUUUCUGAUAAAUUGCCGAUAAAAAGUAGUAAGUCCACGAAAACUGUGAACUUCUGAAAUAUUUUUGGGAAUGGGCUAGUUCCGUUUGCUUCUACCUUCUUCUCAUCAACAUGUAUCCCUUAUGCAAUAACAACAAAUCUAAGAAACAUAACGUGCUCUAUCAUAUAGAUACAUUUUUUUAAAUUAAUAUAUAACCAGCUUAUUUUCUUGUAAGGCUGUCAUGACUUGACAGAGAUACUGUAAAUGUUCUUCUUCGCUGUGACUAAAAAUCAAGAUUUCAUCAAAAUAAACAACCACGAAUCUGCAUAAGAAAGGAAGUAGAACCUGAAUCAUAAGUCGCAUGAACGUGCUAGGUGCAUUUGCCAAACCAAACGGCAUAACCAGCCACUCGUACAAGCCUUCCUUAGUUUUAAAGGUUGUCUUCCAUUCAUCUCCCUCCUUAAUUCGAACUUGGUGAUAGCCACUUUUAAGGUCAAUUUUAGAGAAAACUUUAGACCCUGAUAACUGAUCCAACAUGUCAUCUAGGCGAGGAAUAGAAAAUCUAUACUAAACCGUAAUCCUAUUGAUGGCUCUGCUAUCCACACACAUCCUUCAAGUUCUAUCUUUCUUUGAAACCAAUAAGGCAAGGACUCCACAAAGGCUAAUGCUCUCUCGAAUAUGCCCUUUCUUCAAUAAUUCUUCAACUUGUUCUUGAAGGAUUUCGCUCUCCUUUAGGCCCCUCUUGUAAUGAGGCAGAUUUAGUAAUUUAGAUCUAGGAAUGAGAUCAAUCUGAUAUUGAAUAUCCCGUAAAGAUAGAAUCUUUGAAGGCUCCUCCACUACCCUAUGAAACUCCUCUAACAGCUUUUUGACAGGUGGUGGUAAAGAUAGUGCAUCCUCCAUUUCUCCUUUUGUUCUCACCAAUAAAGCCAAUAUGCCUCCAGACUUCUCAACUGUGCCUAAUAGCUUUUGCACUCCUGUAGGAACAACAACAAUAGUUUUCCCUUCCACUUUAGAAUGUUUCGCAGAACCAGAAGGCAAAAUAGUAAUCUUCUUUCGAUUCCAUGUAAACAUGUAUGAAUUCUCAUCUCUGUAACGAAAUCAGCUAUCCCCUGGGUUUCAUUACACUUCUUGGGACAUACCUGAUGUCGAAAGCUAAUAGCAUUACCGCCCAAGUGGACAACCGCCCUGACAGUUCUAGCCCAUGGAGUACCUUUCAUAAAGGAUAAUUUGUUCUGACUUCUAUAGUGUGUGAUUCAAAAUAGGAAUGCAACUUUACCGCAGAAAUUAGGACUGUGAAUGCCAAUUUCUUGAGAAAGGGACAAUUUAACUCCGCCCCCUUUAAGAUUUGGCUAGCAUAGUAGAUUGGGCUUUGCUCCCCUUUGUCCUCUCGAAGCAGCAUAGAGCUUACAGUUUUCUACGUCAUAGAUAAAUAUAAAAACAAGACCUCGCCUUCGACGGAUGAGUUUAGCAAAGGGGGAGACAGUAAAAAAGUUUUUAAAUUUUCAAAUGCUUCUACAUACUCUUCCCCACAAGUAAAUUUAUUUUUGCCUUUUAAGGCUUUAAAGAACGGGAGACAUCUUUUGGCCAAGCAUGAUAUAAAUCGGCUAAGAUCCAUUAUCCGCCCAUUCAAUUUCUCUACAUCAUUUAUGGUUCUAGGUACCUCCAUAUCUUGGAUGGCUUUAAUUUUUUUCGAGUUUAUUACUAUACGUCUUUCUGAGACUAUGUAUCCUAAAAACUUCCCAAUCUUUAUUCCAAAGAUACAUUUUUCAAGAUUAAGCUUCAUACCUGCCUUAUCCAGUAUGUCAAAGACCCUUUGGAUAUUGUCUAGAUGAUCAUUUAAGGAUCGGCCUUUUACUACCAUAUCAUCCACAUAUUCCUCAACUGUUGACCCCACUAUGUCUUUGAAGAUGCCUGACACCAGCCUUUGGUAGGUCGCCCCUAUAUUAUUUAGUCCAAACAACAUCACCUUGUAACAGAAAACUCCUAUGUCGGUGAUGAAUGUGGUUUUUUUGCAUCUUUGUCAUUCAUCAGGAUUUGUUGGUAACCUAAAAUAGCAUCAAGAAAUGAAACCACUGCAUGUCCCAAGAUAGAGUCUACUAACCUGUCGAUGGAUAGGAGUGAAUAGUGAUCCUUUGGACAUGCCAUGUUCAAGUCGGUAAAGUCCAUACACAUUCUCCACUUUCUAUUUGCCUUCUUAACCAGUACUACAUUGGCGAGCCAUGUAGGAUACUAAACCUCUUUUAUCAACCUUGCACUUAACAGUUUAUUAACCUUCUCCUUAAUCACCUGUUGCCUCUUCGGUGUAAACUUUUGUACCAAUUUUAUUGUCUCAUCAAUAGACAACUUAUGGGUGAUAAGAGUCAGAUCUACACCUGUUAUAUUUUCUGGAGACCAAGCAAAAGUGGUCACUUUGCAUUUUAAUAAUUCUAUUAAUUUAUGCUUUACUUCAUUGCUUAACGCAGUUUCAAAUCGUACCUUUUUAUCUGUUCCUAACUGGACCUCUUCCGUUGGGUCUGUUGGUUCUGGUUUUAUGUGGGAGUUUGGCUUUUCCGAUAGAUCGAUUGGCAUCAUCGCCUUUUCGAGACUUUUUGUGGAGUGUCUAUAGCAUUCUUGAGCUAACUUUUGGCUGCCUUGAACAACAGCUAAUCCUCCUGGACCUAGUAACUUUAGACACAUAGCACCCAUGUUAAUAACUAUGCCGUGACAGUUUAAGACUGAGUGACCGAGUAUUACAUUAUAGACGAGUGAGAUGUCUACCACCGCAAACUCUGUAUACAGCUCCCACUUGUGCUUCUCAUUACCUAAUAUAAAGGGGAGACUAAUGGUGCCCAGUACUGCCGCGGUGUUAUCCCCUAACCCUACUAACGGGUAGAAGACCUUAACAAGGUUAUUCUUAUCUAAACAUAGCUUAUUAAAAACAUCUAGGGUGAUGAGAUUAACUGAGGUACCUGUGUCAACCAAGAUCCACCUCACCUCAUACUUGUUUAAUUAGAUACUGAUAACUAGCGGGUCAUUAUGAAAAAACCCUAUCACUUUAUCUGUAGGUCCAAACUUUAUUUCCUAUUUUGUCCAUGGUUCCUGUUCUAUAGACAAGACGUCUUCAGCUACGCGCUUGUUCUUUCCUUUGCCAUCAUUAGGUCCUCAUGCAAUUACAUGUAUAAUUUCUACUGGUUCACUGUUAGGGGUAUUUUCAGGAGUUCUUACCUCAAGCUCGAACCUCCUCUCUUCUCUGUCCGUUUUAGCAAACUUUCAAAGUGUGUCGUCCCUUGUCAACCUCUCGAUCUCAUGUUUUAGUUGCCGAUAUUCCUCCAUUGUAUGCUUGUAAUCUUCAUGGAAAUGAUAGUAUUUUUUCCUGUAUGAUCUUUCAACUUUCUCAAGGUUGAGCUUGGAAGGCCAUCUGACCUAUUUAUCGUUCUUCAUGAUCCACAUUAACAUGUGUAUUCAUGAGUCAUUCAAUGGAGUGUAAUUCUUAUACUUACCUCGGUUGUCCCUUCCUCGAGACAUUGGAUAAUUCCUGCGGUCUUCUUCAUACCCUCGCCUCUCUUGCUUUUGAGUUUGCUUUUGACUCGUCCUCUUAUCUUCUCUCAGUGCCUGGACCUCUUCAUCAAGCCUUAUAUAUUUUUGAGGUUUAUCUAUCAGCUGCUGAUAGGUAAUGGCAGGAUUCUUGAUCAAUGAAUCCAUGAAAUUGAUGUACGAGUUUCUUUUUCCAGUGCCUCGCAUGCUAUUUCGUGAUUUAAUUCUUCCACCUGUAUCGCUUCAUCAUUAAAAUGUGAAAUGAAACUCCUUAAAAACCCACCCUCUGCUUGGCAGAUCUUCUGUAAGUUUGAGGAGAGUUUUUUAGGAGGUAUGCAACUAAUAAAUCUCGACUUAAACAACAUGGCAAACUGUGUAAAAUUAUGAAUAGAACCUAGGCUCGGAUGUUGAUACUACUUCUGAGUCAAACCUGUGAGUGUGGGUGGGAACACUCGACACAGCAUAAAAUCAUUGACGUUUUGAAGCUAGAUCAUUGUCCUGAAGAUCGCCAAGUGACUCCUAGGAUCAGUUGUUCUGUCAUACUUAUCCAAACUUGGCAACUUGAACUUGGAAAGGAAAGUUUCUGCUAGGAUCUCCUUUGACAGGGACGAGGCAUCGUCCAAGCCAUACUCCUCCUUUUGCUCCUUCUGAUACCUUUGCACAGCUUGAACCGGCUUCCAAUCAACGUCCUUUAGAGCCUUAUCUGAUGAUUCAUCAUCCUCCAUUUUGGCCUUCCCUUUGGACUGCGUUUGGAUCACUGCCAUUUAAGUCCUUGGGGUCUCAAUCGAAGCUUUUUCCCUUAUCCUAGGAGCCAUAAAUGAGGCCUCCUCCCGAGUCUUGUAUUGCUCGAGAGUGGCUUACAACCUUUUGAUAUACUGAAGCAUUUGCUUGUUAUUCAGAUUGUUAAGAUCAGCCUCAUUGACCAUAGAAGGUAUGUUUUGUCUAUUGCCAAGAGUGGAAGAAAUGAUGAACCUUUUAUUGGCAGUAGUCUUAACAGUAGCUCUUUAAUUAUAAACCAUUUAGAAAGUGGAAGGAAAAGAAAAGUGUCUUUAAAAGAAAAUGAAUAGAAGAUCGGUUUUAAUCCAAAUGAAUAGGGAGAAUUCAAUGGAUCUCCAGCAAUGGCGCUAAAUGAUGUGACUGAAAUGGAGCUAAGUUGUGAUUGAUCGAUCUGCAAAAAAGAAGACGUGAGAUGGUUGGCACCUAUAGGCAGCCACUCCGAUGCUCAAGUCAGUAAACUGAUAGAAAAGGCAAAUGUAAUAAAUUGCUUAGAACUCAUAAUAGUUGUGUAAAUAUGCGUAUCUUAAUUUCUGUGUACAUAGUUUUUAUAUUGUAAAAAGAUAAAGUUGGUUAUUAAAUCUCCUGAAAAUCUGACUGGUAUCGGGUAGUUGAUAAAGGAUCCUAUAAUUAUAAGUAUAAUAGGAAUCUGCUAGAUUGUAUUCAUUAACGAUGACUCUCUAUGAAGUCUCGUUCUACUAAAAAAAGGGCGAGUUUUAGUGAAAAAUCAAAUGCUACGGUAUUCAAAUUUUUCUUUCUAUAGAUGGGACUGUAUAUCGGGUUAUAAAAUCUUGCCACGUGACCCUAUUUUAUGGUUGCAGCUCAUUAGUUAUUUGAAAUGAUUGUUAUAUUGCAUCACUAUCAAAAAUAAAUUAUUAUUAAUUAAAAUUUAUAAUAAACAUAAAAAAUAAAUCAUAAUUAAAGAAUUUCACAUGUCAAAAUAGAAAUCACAAAUUUUUUAAAAGAUGCAAGAUGUUAACUAUUAAAAAAAUUUUGCUCGCUCUAUAAUAGAGAAUUGCCCGUAUUUUGCACGAAACUCAUACUAAUUUUAAUAUUUAUAAAUUUUUAAUUAAUACAUAAAAAUAAAAUAAUAUUUCAAUUUCACUCAUUUUUUUUCUUGCAUUUUAUGUGGACUUAACUUUUUAUCUGUAUAUAUAUAGUUUUAUUAUAUUAAAGAAAUAUAAAAUAUUCAAAUGUUAUUUUUGUUUAAGAAUAUUAAUAAUAUUAUAGGUAAUAUUAAGGUUUUUUUUAAUAAUUUUAUGAAAUGCUAUUAAUAAUUAGAAAAACAUAAUUGUAUUCUAAAUAAAAAAAAAAGAUUGUAUUCUAAAUAAAAAAAAAUGUGUUCAUACAGGUAUAUAUAAUAAAUAAUUUUUUUAAUAUUUUAAUUUACUUGAUAGUAAUUGUUAUUUCUUAAAGUAUUAAGAGGAUAAUUAAUAAAUAAUUUUUAAUUUAUAAAUAUAGAAAUAGAAAUUUAAUUAUUUAUCCAUAAUUUAAUUAUUUUUAUUUUUUUAUGUGGAUUAAAUUUAUCAAUACUGUAUAUAAAAGUGGAAAAAAGGAAAUAUUAGAAUUGCUUAUUAUGUUUUUAGAUUAUUUAUUUAUUUACCAUGUUUUAAAUUUAACAAUAAAUAAUAAUUUUAUUAUUUAAAUAAUUUUAAAUUAAUAAAUUAUUCAUAUAUUACUUAAAAUGAUUUUAAGUAUUUAUCAUUUAAAAUUAAUACAUGUUCAAAUUUUUUAAUUAUGAGUUUAAUUAAUUUUAUUUUGUAAUUAUAUAGGAUAACUAUUAAAAAUUAAUAAUUUUCAUAGUACUUAAUUAAUUUUUUGGAUAAGAUUAUUAAAAUAAUAAAUUUAAAUAUUAAUUAAAAAUAUUAAAAUAAUUAUCACAAUAUCGUAUUAUUAGAUUUAAACCGUUAAUUUUUUGAAUUUAAUUAAUUUUAUUUGGUAACUAAUUAUUUAAUAAUUAUUAUCUUAAAUUUUUAACCUUGAUGUAUUUUGUAGAUUUAAAAGUUUGAUAUUUUUUUAACAAAUUUACCAUUAAUUUUAUAGAUUAUAUAUAUAUGAUUAUUGAAAAAUAUCAAAAACAAUUAUUACAAUAUUAAAAUAUUAAAUAAUAAGUUCAAAUUUGAAAAAUAAAAAUAGUAAGAUACACAAAAUAAUUAGAGAUAAUAGCCAAAAAAAUCAAUUAACUUUUAAUAAAUUAUCUCAAAUUUUAAAAGUUAACUCAUAUAUUCUAAACUAAUCAUAUAAAUUUAUUUAUACUGUAUCAUUAAAUUUAACAGUUAAAUUUAAUAAAAAAUAUUUUAAUCAUCACUAAAAAUUAAUAUUUUAAUAUAAUUAAUAAUUAUUAAAAAAUUUUAAAUUUUAUUGAUUUCAAUAAUUAUAUCCUAAACUAUAUUUUUAAUAAAUAUAUUUCAAAUCAAUAUUUUAAUUUUGUUUAAUUUUUAAUUUUAAUUUGAUUUAUUAAUAAUUUCGAAUGACGUAUUGUCAAGAAUCAAUAAUUUAUUUUUUUAAUUUUUUAGCAUCAAUAAGUAUAAUUUUUUGUAUAAUUAUAGGUUAUGAGUGUUGUGAUAAUAUUAACUUUAAUAAAUUAAAAAUCAUGAUUUUCUCAAUUUAAAAAAAUAAUUAUAUUUAUUAUAAUCUGACCGGAUUGAAAGGUGAUAUUGUGUUUAAUAAAUUUAAAAUAGAUAAAUUCAUUAUAUAAUAUAUAAAAUAUAAUUAUAAACUAAAAUUACUUUGCCAUUUUUAUUAAUCAAACUAAUUGUAAAUUUUUAACUUUAUUAAAUAAAUAUAAUAAGUAUAAUUAAUUUUCACAUAGUGAGAAUUGUGAUUCUUUGAUUUACUAGUAAUAUUAUUAACACACCAUUUAUAACAGAUAAUUAUAAAAAAAAAUUACAUUUAUUAAUGAAAAAAAUGAGUUAUUAAUUUAUAAAAAUGUAUAUCUAAAAUUAUAAAUAAAUCGAAUUAAAAUUAAAAAUUAAAUAAAUAAAAAUUAAUUCGGAAUAUAUUUGUUAAAAAAAUUGAGGUAUAGUUGUUAAAAUUUUAUUUACAAUUAUAUAUUUGAAUUAUAUUUAAAUAUUAAUUUUUGAUAUUAACUUAAAUGAUGAUGUGGCAUUUUCAUUAAAUUUAACGGAUAAGCUUAAUUGUAGAAUAUAAAUAAACAUUAUUCUCUGUAAAAUAAUGUGUUAUAAUGAAAAUUUUUAAAAAAUUCCUUAGUAGUUUUUAACAUUUCAAAUUUAGAGUUUUAUUGGAAGCAGUAAACGGGAUGAAUGAACUCUUUAUUUUCAUUUCUAUACUUAUUUUAUCUUUUUUGUAGUUUAUUUAUUUGCUAUUAAAAAUAAAAUAAGUUUCAGAGUUUGUAUAUAUAUAAAUAUAAUAUUUUUAUUGAUGAGAAACGAGUUUCAAUUUAUUUUAUAAUUUUAUUAUAAUUAGUAUGAAAAUUUAAUUUUUUUAACUAUUAAAAAAAAAUUCUAUCUAAAAAGCAGUAGUAUAUUAUACAAAAUAAUAAUUGAUUAGUUUUGAUUAAACCGAAUAAAAUAGUAUUUUUAAUCUCUAAUUAAAUUAGUUUUAUAUUAUGUGUAUCGACAGAUUUAUAAUAAAGAUUAAAAAUUAUUUUUUUAUAAGUAAAUUAAAAUAAUAUAAAUAUUAGUGUAGCAAUAAUUAAUAAUUGAUGUAAGUUUUGAUUAUUUUAUUUUAUAAUAUAUGAUAUUUGAUAAUGAUAAAAUUAAUUUAUUUAAUAUUUAUAGUAAUUUUUUAUUGUAAUACUUAUUUUAGAGUAAAAAAUAUUUUUAAUAUUAUACAAGUGAAAUUAAUUUCUAAUAUUAAAAUUUAAGUAGAUAAUGAUUUUAUUAUUUAAAGUAAUUGAAUUUUGAUAAAAUUUAAAAGUUGUAAUAUAUUUAAAUUUAUAAGUGGAUGGUAAUUUUAUAAUUGAAAUUAAAUUUUCAAACAGAUAAUAAUUUCAUUAUUUAAAUUAAUUUAUCAUUAACAAAAAUUUAAAAUUUUGAGUUUUAUAUAAAUAAUAAAAAGUUAAAUUUAUGAUAUAAAAUUAUUAAAAUAACAUAUUUAAAUAUUAAAUAAUAUUAUAAAAUAAAAAAUAAUUAUUAAAUUAUUAAAUAAUAUAUAUAGUAUUAUAACAAAUAUUAAAUAUGUCAUGCACCUUAAAUAACACUAGUAUAUAUAUUUAUUAAUUUUAUUUUCAUAAUAAAUAUGAUAUCUAAUAUAUUAAAAGGAUAUAAAAAUUUUAUUUUUAAGUAAUAAAUAUGAGAUAUUAUUUAAUCAAUUUUAAAUUAUUUUUUAUUUUUAUUAAUAAUAUUUCUUUUUAUAAUAUAAUGAAAAUUUCAUUAUAAAAAAUAUAGGAUAAAAAGCACUACCACUAAAAAUAAUUUAAUAUAACAAGUUUAAUCAGCAAACAAUUUUACACGAAAAAUAUUUAAAAAUUCGUGAUGAGAUAGGAUUAUAUGAUAAGAGUCGAGAUAAAAAUUUGAAUACUAUAAUUAGGCUAUUCAUUAAAAUUUGGCCUUUUCCUUAAUAGGAUGAUUCUUUAUAUAAAAACAAUUAUUUAUAUAAAAACAAAUUUUUUUUAUAAAAUUACUAUUAUUAUAUACAAUGCAGUAAAUUCUCAUUAUACCUGUAAUUAUGAGAUUAUUGAUCAAUUAACUGGCGAAAUUCUUUAUCGAUAAAGUCACAUCAUUAUCGGAGUAUUAAAAAAUACCAUCAUUAAUCUUAUCUCUUAAAAGCUCAUAAUCAAAUUUAUGCUAUUUUCUCACAAAACUACUCUUAAAUUUAUUGACUUGAACAUCAUAUUAGUUACGGUAAAUACUUGCCACUUUAUAUUUUUUGUCUUGCAGUGGAUCAAUUACACUAUGAUUUUAUUUCAGUCAUAUCAUUAUUGAUUUUAGUAAUAUCAAAAAAAUAAUUAUUUAAAUUAUGAAAAUCGAGGUAAAAAUAAUAAUAAUAAAAUAAUAACAACUAAAUAAAUAAAAUUUAUCCAAAAAAUGCCAUGUGACAGUAGUAUAAAAAGACUUUUCAUAGAGAGUACGACAUGACAAUAUUAUGAAAAAAAAAACAAUUAUUAACAAAAAAAUAUAAAUGUAUAGCAUAAAGAAUAAGAACUAAAUAGAUAAAAUUAUCCCAAAGAAUGCCAUAUGAUAAUAGUAUAAAAGGACUUUUCAUAGAGAGUAUGACAUGACAACCCAAAAAAAUACCUACUUUGUAUUAUAUCGAUAGAUAAAUUACUCCCUUCGUUUACUUGUCAUUUUCAGACUCCCAUUUUUAGAGAUCGUUUUAUUUAAAAUUAUUUGUUAUUUUGAAAAUAUUAAAAAAAAUUAAUUAAUUUUUAAUUUUACUCUUAUUUCUAUUAACAUAUUAAUUAUUUCUUCUAAAUUUCUAAAAAUUACUGUCUAUUUUAUCACUUUUCUUUUUAUUUUUUUAAUUUUUUUUAUUCAUAGAUUAAUGGAACGAAAACCAUUAAGAUUAUACUAAUUAGGUUAGAGAAAGUGAAGCUUAGUCAAAUUAAAAAAAAUAUUUUAUUAUAAUAUAAAAGACUAUUGAAUAAAAAAAUUUAAAUAUUUAUGUUAAUUCAUAUUUAUAUUUUAAAUUUUAAAUUUCAAAAAAUAAAGUCCAAACUUUUUGAGUUUAUCAUAAUUAUAGUUAAUAGAACUAAAAUAAAAUUUGAAAAAUUAAUGUUAAAUUAUAUUAUAGUUCCUAAAAUUUUUUAUUAAUAAAUACACAGUAAUUUAAUUCAAAUUUUAUAUUAAAAGUAAAUAUAUUAUAUAUUUAUCAUAUAUAAUAAUAAAUAUAUUAUAUGUAAAUAUUCAUUACAAAUAAAUAUAUAUUACAUACAAUAUCAUAUAUAAGUUUUAUAUAUUAAUAUUUAUGCUCUAUGGAAAAUUAUGUUCUUUUUAUUCAUAUAUAAAAAAAUUUAUUUUAUAUCAAUAAUAUUAAAUAAAAUGAAAUAUCAAUGCUUUAGUCUAUAAAGUUUUAUUUUAUUUUAUAUUUUAAAUUUUUAUUAAUUUAUGAUAUGUGUAUAAAAGUAGAAAUAGAAAGUAAAUAAUAAAUUGAUAAAAAAGUACAUUAUUGAAAUUAAUAAAAAUAUUUAUCAUAAAGUCUAUUUUAUUAGUCAUAAAAAAUUUCAGGGAUUAUAUUGUAAUUUAAUAGAAUUUUUCCAAUUACAAUUUACUCCUCUAUCUAUAAUCAUAACAAGUUUAGAAGAUUUGACUUUUUCCUUUUAUCAGAAGAUAAUUAUAUUGAUAUAUUGCAAGGUCUAAACCUAAUUUGCAAGUGUUACGGAGCUGUCGCUACCGCUUGGAACCAUACCAUAUUAGGAAGCACCGGAGAGAAGAAAGGAAACAGAGUGAUGUUCAAGACCAUUAAUACCUUCAAUCCACAGAAAGGACCUUGGAAACCAUAGGAAGAAGCUUAUGGCCACGUCUUUACCGGAGCAUACGAGGAGUUGUGGAGGAGGGCUCAAAUGGCAUUAUCAUGUCUAGUUAGGAUCGAUUGCUUUACCAUAGAAAGUGACUAGAAAUACUGAGGUUCUCCACAACAGAACUUGAAUAGAAACCGUUUCAUAACUAAAUAUAGAUAAAUGGCUUACUGAAACACACAUCAGUGAAGGGAUGCAAUAGAAAAAGUCCUUUGCAAAAAAGCUACCUUGCAUGUAAGGAAAAAGAGCAAAAGGAAGAAGAUGGAAGCCCAGCAAGAUUAGUUCCACAAUUUGGGUUCGUUAAAAAUUGAUGAGUUUGACUCAUUUUCAAGUUCAUGAGUAAGUUUACAAAUUAACUCGUAAACAGAUUGUUAAGUAUGUUGAAUCAAUACCAUAAGAGAACUGAGCUCAAACUUGAGUUUAUAUAAAAUUUUAUAAACUAACUUGAACUUUCUAAACUUAACUUCACUCUAUUUAAUUACACUUCUACUAUUUACAGAUAUUCUACGUGUUAAAAUUUAAGAGCUCUUUUUUUAAUAGUUGAUAAGUUGGUGAUGUAGGACUAUUUAGACUCCGUUAGGAGUUUCAAUCAAUAUCGUUUGGUUAAAACGAAAUAAGAGAAAAGAUAGGCUAAAAGACGAAAAGUCUUAUUGAAAUUUCUUAAAAAUUGGAAAGUGUGUUCCUAAUAGCCAAGGGAGGCUAUUUAUAAUAGAAAUAAAAUCCUAAUAUGCAAAAAUAAUCCUAAUCUUAAUAGGAGUUUAAAAUCCUAAUAGCCAAGGGAGACUAUUUACAAUAGAAAUAAAAUCCUAAUAUGCAAAAUAAUCCUAAUCCUAAUAGGAGUCUAAAAUCCUAAUAGCCAAGGGAGGCUAUUUACAAUAGAAAUAAAAUCCUAAUAUGCAAAAUAAUCCUAAUCCUAAUAGGAGUCUAAAAUCCUAAUAGUCAAGGGAGGCUAUUUACAAUAGAAAUAAAAUCCUAAUAUGCAAAAUUAUAAAAAUAUCCAAAAUAUCCAAAAUAUCCAAAAAUAAUAAUUAAAAUAUAAAAGUUAGCCCUAGUCCAAGUCUGCUGUAAAAUCCAAGGCUAGUUGUCCCGUGUCAUUCCCUUCCACUUGUAAAGAACUCGUCCUCGAGUUGUCAUCAGCAGGGUAGUAUUGAAAUAAAUCUGCCACAUUAAAUGUUUAGGAAAUUUUCAUUUCAUGUGGGAGGUUAAGAAUAUAGGCAUUGUCAUUGAUCUUCUGAAUGAUCCGAAAUUGACCAAUCUUCUUGGCGUCAAGCUUUUUCUGUCCUCCACCACGCUCCUUGCGUAAAUACACCAUAACUUGGUCACCGACAUUGAAGGACUUGAAACGCCUAUAUUUAUCAGCUAUAGCUUUAUAUUUGUCAUCGGCUUCUGUAAGGUAUUGUUGUACCUGUUUGAAAACAUCUAUGUGCUGCUUUGCCAAGUUGCUUGCUGCAAUACUGUUUUAAGCAAAUUCCACCUGGUCUUGGAGGUUUUCACUCUCCUUUGGACUCAUCUUGUAAUGAGGCAGAUUCGGUAAUUUUGAUCCAGGAAUGAGAUCAAUCUAAUGUUGGAUAUCCCGCGGAGGUGGAAGCUUUGAUGAUUCCUCCACUAUCUUAGGAAACUCCUUCAACAGCUCUUUGACGGGUGGUGGUAAAGAUGGUGCAUCCUCCAUUGUACUUUUUUCUCUCACCAAUAAAGUCAGUGUGCCCCCAGAUUUCUCAACUGCACCGGAUAGCUUCUGCACUCCCGUAGAAAUAGCAACAACAUUCUUCUCUUCCACUUUAGAAUGUUUCGCAGAACCGAAAGGCAAGAUAGUAAUCUUCUUUUGAUUCCACGUGAACGUGUAUGAAUUCUCCUUCCCUUUAUGUAAAGCAUCAACAUCGAACUGCCAAGGGCGACCUAGCAAAAUUCCACAGUAAUCCAUAUCCACAACAUCACAAUUAACAAGUUCAGUAUAAGAUUUACCGAUCGAGAUAGACACGCUGCAGAUUCUGUUGACCUCAAUUGUCAGUCCUUCCUUAAUCCAUCCGACUUUGUAUGGUGAGGGGUGAGGCUGUGUAGGCAACUGUAAUUUCUCCACCAACUGCUUAGUUAUUAGAUUCUCACAACUGCAACUAUCUAUAAUUAGCCUGCAAAUUGCCUCUCCUACUUGACACUUUGCCUGGAAAAUCUUCCUCCUUUGUGUCUCGUCCUCCUGUUUUGUUGAGCAUAAGAUCUUCUUCACCACAUAGGUGACCUCUCCAUCUUCAGAACCAGCAAUAGAUCUGUCAUCGUCAUCCACUUCCUCGUUAGUUUCAGCCGCCUGCUCAACUAUAUUAACAUGCUGGCGGUCAGUAUUAACUCCUCUACGUUCUGGACAAUUAUUUGAUCGAUAACCAGAUUGCCUGCACCGGUAACAGAUGUCUCCCGUUGGCUUCUGGUAAGGAUUGGUCCUGCCUCCUUUGUCUGUUGUAGUGGUGACUGCCUUGCCCUUACUGUCUCUCCUUUCUUCCAUGGUAUUCGGAGGGUUGCCAGAAUUUACAACCUUAGAAGGCUGCCCGCUGUAGUUGCCUCUAUGUUGUUGCGUCCCUGUUGAACUAGAGUUUCUGUAAUUGAAAUUCCGAUUGUACUGCUGCUGUCGUGGCUGCCAAUCAAUACGCUCUUCUGCCCUUUUUGUCAUCUCAAUAGCGUCUGCCAAGGUGAAAAUCACAGCUACUCCCAUCAUACAACGAAUUUCGUGAUUCAGCCCCCUCUGAUAAUGAGCAACCUGUUGGGCCUCGUUCUCACAGUUUUCACAUCUCGCCUGCAGCCUUAGAAACUCCUUGGUAUACUCAUCCACCCUUCGGUUCCCGUGUACACAGUCAUGAUACCGGUUAUAUAAAACCUGAGCGUGAUCGCUAGGCAAGAACCGUUGUUCAAACAUCUGCUUCAUCAGCACCCAGUUUCGUAUGGGCUCCAGCCUCUUCCUAUAGCAUUCAUUUUAAAUCGAAUUCCACCAGGCUGCUGCACCCCCUUUCAACUUAUAGGCCACAAUUGGAACCUUGCGUUCCUCUUCCACGUUCAUAAUUUCAAAGAAGCGUUCAACCUCUGCCAGCCAAUCAAGAACAGAUUCAACAUCUAAUGAACCAGAAAAGUUUUGAAGGUCUACCUUGAUCCUGUAACCUUCCUGAUAGUUCUGUUAGGGAUUUGCAGGCAUAGGAUUGACGACCACAGGAUUGGCGGCCACAUGGGGAUGUGCGGCGGCGGCGAGUUGGUGGAGUCCCUGCUGCAGGGUCAGCUGUCCAAUCAUCUCCCUCAAUUCUGCCAAGGAUGCCUCAAUCGCAGCAAGUCGCGCCUCUUGGUUAUCUGCCAUGGUCAAACUUCGCUCUGAUACCAAUCUGAUGUAGGACUAUUUAGACUCCGUCAGGAGUUUCAACCAAUAUCGUUUGGUUAAGACGAAAUAAGAGAAAAGAUAGGCUAAAAGACGAAAAGUCUUAUUGAAAUUUCUUAAAAAUUGGAAAGUGUGUUUCUAAUAGCCAAGGGAGGCUAUUUAUAAUAGAAAUAAAAUCCUAAUAUGCAAAAAUAAUCCUAAUCCUUAUAGGAGUCUAAAAUCCUAAUAGCCAAGGGAGGCUAUUUACAAUAGAAAUAAAAUCCUAAUAUGCAAAAUAAUCCUAAUCCUAAUAGGAGUCUAAAAUCCUAAUAGUCAAGGGAGGCUAUUUACAAUAAAAAUAAAAUUUUAAUAUGCAAAAUUAUAAAAAUAUCCAAAAUAUCCAAAAAUAAUAAUUAAAAUAUAAAAGUUAGCUCUGGUUCAAGUCUGCCGUAAAAUCCAAAACUAGUUGCCCCGUAUCAGUUGGUCUACGUGUAUAAUUAUUUAAUUAAAAUAUUUAAUAUAAUUAUAAUAAAUUAAAUUAUAUGGAAAUUAUUUAAGAUUAUACUCGAUAAUAAUUUGGCAUAUUUUAAUCUGUUUGCUAAUAAAUCAAAUCUAAAUUUAUUAUUAUUUGACUUGAAUUUGAAAUAAGUAAAUUUUGAGUUUGGUUUAAGUAAUUAAAUUUUAUUGAGACAAAUUUAAAUUUUUCAAACUCAAUUUGCGAGUGGUUAACUGGGUUAAAAAUUACACUUGAUCACAGCAAAUAUGGUUAAUGUAGGAUAACAUAUUAUAUGCCUAACUCUUAGUCUCCGUUAACCUCAAAAUAAAUGCAUUCCUAUGUAAAUAUCCCUGGUUUAGAAAAAAAAAAGUCACAAUAAUUUAAUUUAAUUAAUUCCUAUUUUAUCAUAUUUCUUAUUUGAAAUGAAAAAAAAAAAUCAUUUUUUUUAAUUUACUAAAUUUUUAUUUAAUAAAAAAAAUUAUAUAUAAUUUUACUAUAUUUUAUUUAAAUUUUAUUUUUAUAAAAUAAUUCAUAUCAAAUAGAAAACUAACGAAUCUAUUAAUAAAAAUUAUAAACGAAACAUAUGAUAUUUUUAUUUCAUUUAACAUUAUUGAUAUUAUACAUAGUUGGCUAUAAAAAUAAAUAUUUUAAUAUAUAAUAAAUAUCGAAUCUAUUUUAUUACAAUAGGAGUUAUUAUUUUCAUAAAUAUUUAUUAAAUAUAAUAUAUUUAUUAUAUAUAUAUAUAUAUUAUAUGGAAUAAAUAUAAAAUAUAUUAAUAUUUAAAUAUAAAAUUUAAAUGGUGAAAUAUAUUUUUAUACUAUCAUAUUAUUGAGAUUUAUUAUUUAAUAUUUAAACUAAAAUUAUAACCUAUUUCUUUCGCCACAUAAUUUUAUUCAUUUUAUUUUUUCACGUAUAUUAAAAAAUAUAAUUUUUUUAUUAAUUUUUUAACUAUACCUAUCCUAAAUAUAUUAACUUUUAUUAAAUAUUAAAAGAUAUUUUAAAAAAAAUUUUAGAAAUAAAAUAAAAUUAAAUAGGAUUAUAAUAUUAAAUUUAUAUAUGCUUAUAAUUUUAAAAAAUAAAAUAGAUAAUAAUUUUUGAAAAAUUAAAAAAGAAAAAUUAAAUAAAAAUUAUGGGAUGAAAAGAAUAUUAAACUUUUAAAAUUAUAAAAAUUAUAAUAAUUAAAUAUAAAUUAUUUAUGUUAUUAAUGAUUUGUUAAAAAAUAAAAAAAAAUUCAUAUUUAUACUCUAAAUUUUACUAAUUAUAUUCUAAUUUCAUAAAAUUAUAAAAUUAUCGUUUUUUUGAAUUAAAAAAAUUUAGAACAUAUUCAAUAAAAUUUAGAGCAUAGUUAAUACCAAGUAUGAUUAAUUUUAAAUUUUUUUGAUUUUUUUCAAUAUAUUGCUGAUAAUAUAGUUCAUUUAUGUUUAAUUAUUAUAAUUUCCAUACAAUAAGUUAAAAUUUUAAUUUAGAUAUUUAAUAAAUUAAUCUCAAUUAAUAUAGAAUAUAAAUAUAUAUAUAUAUAUAACUAAACUUAAAUUAAAGACGGAUAUAUUUUUCUAAUAAAAAAAAUUGAAACUAUAUUACUUUUAAUUUUUUUCAAACUUAAUUUGGUGAUAGAGUUAUAAUUUUUAAAAAUUGAAAAUAUUAGAUUUUAUUAUUAAAUAUUUUAUAUUUUAAUUAAUCUAAAUUUCAGACUUUUUCAUAGUAGAUUUUAUUUUAUUAUUAAUAGCUAUAUUAUUCUUUUUUUUUUUAAACAGGCCAGGGUAAUUAAUUAGAUGCACCGACCAGGCACAUGGAAAAUUACAUACGUGUGUGUAUGACAAAAAAGGGCUGGUUACCACAACAUGAUGAAACCUCCAAUUGGGACCGAAACGGUGUCUGGCUGAGCUCUGACAUCAGAUUCAGCUUCUGCACGUGCGCCUCUUUAUGGCGUUUUUCUCCUACUGUCGGGUAGGUGAACGGCUCUCUCCCGCUAUAUAUAUUAAAUAUAUAUAUAUAUAUAUUAAGAAAUAUUCACGAUCUAAUUAUUAAAUUAUUAAUCCAAUAUAUGAUCAUUAGGUUUUGACAAUGUCCAAUCAUUCUUUAGUUGUUAUUCAUCUUCUUUAAUUAUCAAAAUUUACACAAUGUUAUCAUAUAUAAUCUGAAGAUUGAGCUAUUUUCUAUUAGCUUUUUAUUAUUUUCCAAAUUAUUUAAAAUACUCAAAAUAUGUAAUUAUAAAUAAUUAAAUUAGCUGUCAAACAUUUAGCAUAAGAAAUAAUGGAAGGGGGUGGAAUUAUAUUCCAAGUUCAACUCACAAAAAUAAUUAGCCUUUGCUCUCAACAUUUAAAAGGGGCCACCAAAAAUUUCCAAGUAACAAAUGAGAGAUAUUUGGUCAAAAUACACACAAAUAAAAAGGCUAUGCAUGUGGCUAUAUGCUCAUGAUGGAUAAUAUAUUCCAAAAGAGAUAAGAUAGAGUUCUUGUCAUUAUAGGUAGCUUUGGAUAUUAGAGCUUAGAGACAUGGACUCAAAAACAAUAUGACCCACCAAGUUAGGUUAAAUGGGAAUUCUAAAACAAACUAAAAAAUUGUUGCAAUUUAAGGUUUUAAGGAUGUCAUAAUCUUAUCAUUCUUCUGUGUUAGGCAUUAGAAAGGAAUCAUAGACGUUUGCUAACUAAAUAACUUUAAACACAAGGCAGAUCCUCUUCUUCUUGUUUUUUCUUAAAGGCAUAAUCUUAUCAUUAAUUAAUCCUAUAACGAUUUCAAUCGAGAAUUAUUACUGGCGCUAAGGUAGCAAGUUUACUUUACAUUCUAGUACAAUCUCAAUAUGAUUUAAAAAAACAUACAUAAAAUAUUAUCAUGAAUCAAAUUUGACAUGUGCAUAAAAGUAUAAUUAUAAAAUAUAAACCUAUAUUAGAAGACUUCAUCAAAUACUUAGUAUAGUACUCAUUACAUACCAUAGAGUACGAUUUCAAUUAUAACAUAGAAUUUAAAGCUUUUACAUGACUAAGAGAUCACAACUAUAAUUGGUAUAACACACUAAGAAGAUAGUUAUAGCUCAAUUCUGAUCUAACCAUCAUGUUUAUAUAUUCAAUAAACUAAUAUAAGCAUAAAGGUACUCUGAAGCCUUAAAGCCCAUAACUAAUAUUAAUUCUGCAAACCUAGAAUUAGGAAAGAGGGAUAAGUUACGACAACCUAGUGAGUAGAAAUAUAAUAUAAAAUAAUUUAAUAUAAAAGAUAUACAUAUAUAUGCGUUACAAAUACAAACAAUUCAUAAUAUGAUGGACUUAGUAUCAAUAACCACUACAACAAUAAUAGCUUGUAAUAAUAUUUUUAUAGUGACGCUUUUUGUAAAUGUCACUUUCAAAGUGAACAAGUUCACAUUAAAACAUUAUAGUUUGAGUUCAUGUAAUAUUUUUGAUGGUAUUUAUAUAAAAUAUUGCUCAAAAUUUUAGAUAACAUUUAUACAAAAUGUCAAUCUAAAUUUUUUAUUGUAAUAAUUUUCUAAAUGUUAUCAAUACUUAUUGCGACAUUUUCUUAGAAUAGUUAAUAGUUAUUGGUGAUUUAACUUUUUGUGACAUUUUAAAUAAAUUUAUAUAAAAUGUUACUAUCAAUUUGUUUGUUGAAACAUUUUUAUAAAUGUUGUUAGUACUUAUUGUAACAUUGCAUUAGAAGUAUAGACGCUAAUAAAUAAUGUCAUAAUGCCAGAAUAUAGAAUGGGCCUAAUCUAUAUUUUCAUAGAUAAAUAUUUCAUAUCGUAUUUUGAGGGCUAGUAAAUUAUCUAAUAUUCAUCUACAAUGACAAUUAAAUGUGUAAUGCAUCAUAUUAAUAUAAUCCAAAACAACCUAAGAUCAUUUAUGCAUUCAUGAUAUAUGAACAUACUUAAAAUUAUUUAAUUCAAUUUAAAUAAAAUUGAGUUUAGUUCUACCCACCUUUUAAAGACACAAGCCUUGCUAACUGGUAGUUACCUCACUACUGAUCUCUCUAAAUUCUUAAGUUUGAUCAUAUAUAGAUUAAUCUAAAUGAGAGACCAAAAAGAAACAUAACCUUUACAAUUCUUAAAACUGCUUUAAGAAAAACCUAAAAGUAUAUAAGAAGCCACGUAGAAAAAGGAUGAAAAACGGUUGAACAGGGAACUUCCGACAACAGAUUCGACAGCCUAAAGUAUCCUUACAAAUAUGAAAGUCAACUUUUUGGAAGCACUUUUGGAUGCCAGACCACAAUUUUAAAAAAUGCAGGUUUCGAGACGACAAAAAGAUUGAUAUUUUGUGAUGAAUUACCUAUUGACAACAUAAAUUUUAUCAUUGAAAAGACAUAUAAUACGAUGAAAAUUAUUAAUUGUUAUAGAAAAUAACUUAUAGUGACAAUAUAUAAUUGUGUAAUGGUAAUAUAUUAGAUUCGUCACCUAAUAUGUAUAUUUGAUGACAACUUAUAAAUAUUCGUCAUAUUAUAUAUUUGAUGUUAUAUUUUUUAAAAAAAUUUUAGUGCCAAAUUAUAUGCUAAUAAAAGAAUUUAUUUUAUUUAAUAAAAGAAAAAUUUAUUGUGACAGUACAUGAUAUUAUCAAAAAAAAAAAUUAUUCCAAGAUGAGUUAUAAUAAUUAUCAUAAAAAAAUUUAAAGAUAAAUUUUUAUCAACCUUUUACAGUAGAAAUUGUAUUUUAUGAAAAUAUAUAACGUGACAACAUGAAUACUAUUAGUGACAAAAUGUUAGAUUCGUCACCUACUAUAUAUAUUUGAUGAUAAAUUAUAAAUAUUUAUCACAUUAUAGGUUUGAUGUUAUAUUUCCCUCCAAAAUUUUAGCUCGAAAUUAUUUAUUGAUAACGAAAUUUAUUUUAUUACAAAAAAAUAUAAUAAAAAAAAUUAUUGUGACGUAUAUGAUAUUAUCACGAAAAAAAUUAUUUAAUAAAGAGUUAUAAUAAUUUUUAUAAAAAAAAUUUAAAAAUAAAUUUCUAUCAAUGUUUUACUGUAAAAAUUUUAUUGUGAUAAAAUAUUUUAAUUUUAUAACAAAUUAGUGAUAAAAUAUUAGAUUUAUCAUGUACAUUUAAUGAUAAAUUAUAAAUAUUUAUCACAUUAUAUGAUUGAUAUUAUGUUUUCUCCAAAAUUUUAGCACCAAAUUUUUGGUUGACUAAAAAAUUUAUUUUAUUACAAAAAAUGUUUAUAAAAAAAGAAACAUUUAUAGUGACGUACAUGGAUAGUAUUGUCACGAAAAAAAUUAUUUUAUCACGAGUUAUAAUAAUUAUCAUAAUAAAAAAUUUAAAUAUAAAUUUUUAUCAAUUUUUUACAGUAAAAAUUUUAUUAUGAUAAAGUAUUUUAAUUUUAUAACAAUAUAUAACGUAAUAACAUGAAUACUAUUAACAAAAAAAUAUUAGAUCCACCACUUAAUAUGUACAUUGAUGACAAGUUAUAAAUAUUUAUCAUAUUAUAGAUUUGAUAUUAUAUUUCUUUCUAAAAUUUUAGUACUAAAUUCUUUGUUGAUAAAAGAAAUUAUUUUAUUAAAAAAUUUAUAAUAAAAAAAAUUAUUGUGAUAUUCGUAAUAUUGUCAUGAAAAAAAUUAUUUAAUAAUGAUUUAUAAUGAUUUUCAUUAAAAAAAUUUAAAAAUAAAUAUGUAUCAAUCUUUAAUGGCAAAAUUGUAUUGCGAUAAAUUAUUUUAAUUUUAUUAUAAUAUAUAAUUUGACAAUAUAAAUAUUAUUAGUAAUAAAAUAUUAGAUUUAUCACUUAAUAUAUUUUUUUAUGAUGAAUUAUAAAAUUUAUUAUUAAUUAUUUUAUAGGUGAUUAUCUCUCAUUAAUUUUGAAAGCAGGCACUAAUUAGUAUGAUAAACUUUUAUAUGACUAUCAAAUAUUUGAUUCUGAAUUAUUUUUUUAUAAUUUGAAAAAAGUAUAAAAUAAAAAUAUUCAGUAAGCUAUUUUUAUUUUUUAUAUGAUUAUAAAAUAUUAUAUUUUUAUAUAAUAAUAAUUAUUUAUUUUUAAUACAUUAAUUAUAAUUGAUAAUCUUUUAUAAUUUAUAUUACUUAUUCGAUAUUUUAUGAUUAAAGAAUAAGCCAUUUAAAAAAAAAAAAGACUAUCAUAUUUUAUUUAUCCUACAAAAUAUAAACUUAUCAAUAAAAUGUAACUAUUUGUCAUUUUAAACCAAAAAAAAAAAAAGAACGAAAAAGGCAAAGGCACUAGAUUUGAAAAAAAUCAAGUUUAUUUUAACAAAGAAAAAACUAAAAUCUAAGUAUAUAAUAAUAAAUAUAACCGUAGAGUAAAAACAACAUUAAAGAGCCAUGUACUUUUUAAUAAGAUAAUAGUUAUAUUUUUAAGUCAUAUAUUAUUUUUUUAAAAAAAUUAUUAAUAGUAAAUAGAUUAUGUUUUUUCGUAGAUAAAAUUUAAUAGUAAAUUUUAUUGGUAAUAGUAUAUUUAAUUUAAGUGAUACUUUUUAUUUUUUAUUUUAAAUAAUAUAAAGGGUAUAAUUCAAUUAUAAAAAGUUAAUUUACGUUAGAAUUAGAAUAUAUUAUAAAAUUUAAAAAUAAAAUAUAAUAUAAUUAUAUUAAUUAUUAAAAAAAUUUUAAGACGUAAUCUAAUAAUAAAUAUUCAGUUUUAUUUUUUUACUUAUUAAUAAUAUUUAUUUAAAUCCGUUUUCAGCUUUGAUUUAUAAAAAAAAAAAAAAAGUUGUAAUUCAAACUAAAUUAUUUGAGUUGUUUUAUUUAUAUUAAAUGAGAAGUUUUUAAUUUUAGAAUAAAAGUGUUUUAUUUAUUGAUUUAACACGUAAAUUAAUUAAGAAGUUUAAUUUUUAAUUUUAAAAUUAACUUUAAAUUAUUUUAUAAAUUUUAAUUUUUAUAUAAUUUCAAUUAUGAUCCCGACCCGAAUUUAAAAAAAAUGAGAAUAGAUUCAAAAUAAAGAAAAUAUAGAUUAUUUAGAUUGAUAAAUAUUAAAUAUUUUAUUAAUAAAUUUAUAAUAAUAUAAUAAAAUUAAAAUACAUUCUAUCUCUCUUUUGUCUGCUCGUUCUUUGGCAACAAACAAUGUGCGUGGUAAUUUAAGCUAAAUUAUUUGAAUUUUUUUAUUUAUAUAAAAUAAAAUAUUUUUUUUAAUUUUAGAAUAAAAAUAUUUUAUUUUUUAAUUUAUCUCAUAAAUUAACUAAAAAAUUUAAUUUUUUAAUUUUAGAGUCAAUUUCAAAUUAUUUUGUAAAUUUAGAUUUUUUAUGGGUUCAAUUACGUCUCCAACCCAAUUAAAAAAGAGAAAGUGUUCAAAAUCAAGAGAAAAAUGAAUUAUUUAGAUGGAUAAAUAUUAAAUAUUUUAUUAAUAAAUUUAUAAUAAUCUAAUAAAAUUAAAAUACAUUAUAUCUUUUUUCAUGUAUGCAUUUUUUUAAAAAAAUUAAAAAUUGUAAUUUAAGCUACAUUACUUGAAUUUUUUAUUUAUAUAAAUUAAGAAGUUAAAUUUAUUAAUUUUAAAAUAAAAAUAUUUUAUUUUUUAAUUUAACUCAUAAAUUAAUUAAAAAGUUUAAUUUUUUAAUUUUAGAGUCAAUUUUAAAUUAUUUUGUAAAUUUUAAUUUUUUUAUAGAUCCAAUUAUGGCCCCAAUCCUUAUAGUAAAAAAAUGAAAAUAUGUUUAGAACAAAGGGAAGGUGAAUUAUUUAGAUUGGUAAAUAUUAAAUGUUUUAUUAAUAAAUUUAUAAUACAUAAUAAAAUUAAAAUACAUUCUAUACCUUCCAUUAUUGGUCCAUUUUUAGGCGAAAAAAAAAAUCUUAGGCAUUCUCACUCCAUCUUCCCCUUUCCUUCACCUCUCCCGCUAUGCCUAUCACCUUUAGUCAGGAUAGUAUCUCUCCACUCCAUUUCUGCUCUUUUGAUUCGUUUUCCUAUCCUUCAACGUUAGAACUUCUCUUCUAGUUCUACGUAGAUAAAGGACCUCCAUGCAGCCCACUCAUGCAAUACCAUCCACCCAACUAUUAAUUUCAUUUUGUUAACCGUUCGAUGCACUCUCUUUCCAUGCAGUAUAUAUUCAUCAAAUUUUAGUGAUUAUCUUGAGUUAUUGGGUGGAAAUUUAUUAUGAAUUUUGAAGGUUAGCAUUUCCGUUUACCUAAUUUUUUUACCUAAUUUCUUUAUUUCUUUUCUAUUUAAUUUUCGUAAUUUUAGUUUAUUUUUUAUCUUAGAUAUGUAUCAGUCAAAUUUAAGGCCAUAGAAUUAAACAUAUAAUCUUCAAUCCAUUGAAUUUAUUUCUAGAAAGUUGAUUGUUAUUUAAACCAUUAAAUUUUGUCCUCAGAUAUAAACUUUUUAAUUUGAACUUUAAUAAAUUUACAUAAUUUUUUUGGGAUAGGUAUAUGUGUCUAAUAUAACUUUGUUUUAUAAUAGACAUGCAUUUAAUGCUAUUCAUAAUAGAAUAUGGCAAUAAUAUUGCCGUAUGCAUUAGGUAGUAGAGAUUGUGCAGUAGGCCUUAUGCAGUGUGUGGUUCGAUGCUAUUCAUUUUAAAACCACGUAAAAAUUUGAUGCCAUUCUAUAUGAAAAUUUCUUUUUUGAUUCAUGUGGUUUUGUGCAUAAGUAGAAAUCUUAUUCAAAGACAUACUCAAACUUUUAAGUCUAAAUUGUUGGUACUCACAUAUACUUUUAGAAACGGAAUUAAGAAACCUUAGUUUUGAAAAUUACUAGCUUUAUAAACUUAACUGUAACCAUGUUGUAUUUAUUUUGAAUGACUAAUUUGCUAACAACUCUUCAUAUAAGCCUUUUCUAUUUAUCUCACUAUAUGUGUUUUGAAAUGUUUUUUUAUGGGUUUGAUAUUUGAAAUGUUGAUGAUGAAGACUUACUUUAUUAAGAAUGGCUAUGUAUUUGGGAAUAUUUUGGGAUUAUCACAAAAAAGUUUGUACAUUUCAAUUAAAAAAUAUAAGUGGUAAUGCUCUUUCAUCGAUUUUUUAGUAUUUCACAGUAUAUAAUUCAAGUUAAAUUUAAUUAUAUGUUUUAGUACAUGCACAUUUAAUAAAUUUCACUUUCUCUUUU